UCUCUAAUUUUUUCUUAGAAGAUCUCUAAUUUUUUUGUUAGAAACUGAGUUUAUUUUCCCGAUUUGCCUAAUUCUGUUCUUCCUCUCCCUUCUUCUUUUCUCUUGUUGUCCUAGUUUCUUCAUGCUUUGCAGUGAUAUUUGUGUUUUUUCCAAAGCCUUACAAGUUGAGCUAUUUUUUGCUUUCAAAUAGGAUUGUCUGAUGAGAACUCCUGAGAUGGUGUUUUAACACCACAGGAAUGGCACAGCAACACUAGGGUGGCUGUUGGGAAGUGGCUUUGACAAUUUAUCAACACCUUUUCUGUAGAUCUGAAAUUAAUAGUUUGCAAUUAUGAAAUGAAUGAAAUUGCAGUUAAUGAUCUGGUUUGCUGGGUAGCAAAAAAUCAAGGUGAAGCACCAGUUUACGCUCUUACUUUGCAUGGGUUGGUAAGCUGGUUAUAUGUGUUACCUGUGGAAUUCCAGUUUGGCUGGUUGUUGUUGCAUGCUGUAGGUGCGGUUUGCAGAAAACACUUUUUUGACCAUCUCUUUAACACUUUUUUGCCAUCUCUUUUAUUAUUACGGGUCUUAAUGAGGGAGUUGGGCAUAUAACUUGCAUGCAAUAGACAUUCAACAUUGCCCCCACUCAAUUAGAUCAUUUUUAUGCUUCUCGUGGUGAUGUGAUACCUUGUUGGGAGAAAAAAGGGUAGAAAAAAUGAAUUAAAUACAUGAUUUUGUAUAGAAUAUUUUCUUAACAGUAUCCACCUAUGUUUUGCCUUAGAUUUAAAGUUUCUGUGCUUUUCAGUGGAUUCAUCUUAGCCCUGGUUAAAAUAACUAUAUGCAGACAAAAUAGAAAAUAAGGACAUGUGGAAGUCUUUUUUUGAUAUUGAAAUGUUCCAUAGCUUUAGCAUUUCAUCAGUGCGGUUAACCUCAUCUUUAUUUUAGAGGAGGAGGUCUCUCAUCAUCUUAUCAUUCUAACCUUAUCACUGGGUUUUUCUGUGGUGCUGUCAACACCUAGAAAACUUUCUCGAUCUCAGUUCACCAAGCAGGAACUUCUUCCUUUUGGAUCUUCUCCUGAGAAUUAAUUUCAAACCCACUAUUCUCAAUGCCAUUAUUUCCUUUAAAGAGCAGAUGUAGACUUCUGUCUUUUGCGUUUCCUGGAUCUUGUUUGCAAAUUAGUCUGCAAUCAGUCUUGCCAGUAGGGAGAGAAAUCUUGGAUUAAAAACACAUAAUGAUUUCAGAUGUUAAUCUUGAGGGCUUCUCAAAAGCAUUUCAUAUUAAGAGAUGGCUGACAAGGGACAAAUUAUCAGGGAACAAAAUUUGGAUUUUUUAUUUUUUUUUUCAGAUCUAGGCCCUCUUUAUCUGGAUCUUUGACAUUUCCAAAUUAGUCAUUCCUCCAAGGUUCAUUCCUAUGGCUUUAAUUUUUUUUAAUGGUAUUUUGUUCAAAACACUGCAAGAUGCAAUUAUCAGCGAUAAAUAAAUCUGUUAAUAAUACAAUUUUAACAGCUCUAACAACACGAUGGCAGUUGAUAAUCUCUAUUGUUCUUAUUAUUAUAUCAAGGUGUCUCCUGAAGAGCUUGUCAUAUCACUUGCCUUUCAGAUAUAAAUUGUAAUGAAAUUGUAAUGCUUACAUUGAUUUGAAAUAAUAAUUGGUUUGUUCAUCAAUAUGAGAAAUCUAAGAAAAGAAAAGACUGUGACUCAAAUAACAUUUAAUUUUUUAAACAUUCUUUGUUUAAGUAUCCGUCAUUCUUCUGAAACAAAAGUCAAUAUAAUUCAGUAAGAUUUCUCCAAACAUAUCUUUAACAGAACAAAUAUUUUUCUUUUAUUAAAAGAAUGAAGUCAAAUUCAUCUGGAUCAUGUAAAAUGCAUUUUUAGUGAAUAAACUAUUUUCUCUCACCUGUUCCCUGGACCUUCCAGGCCCCCCACUCUCAAAGAUUGCCUUGUGUAUGUUUCUGGAUAAAAUAUGUCUAUCAGUCAAUGACAUUUUUUUAAGAAAACCAGUCCAAAGUCAAAGAUUAGAUGCCCAAAAGAAGUCUCAUAGUUACAGACUGUUUGCUUUCCCUACUGGCUUCAUUUAUGAUUUUUUUGUUGUUGUUGUUGUUGUCCUUAAUGGUGAUGAUUGUAACUUUCGCAAAAUAGGAAAAGUGAGCUACAAUAUGUACUUCUGCUCCAUGGACAAAACAUGACUUUGUAUGUGUUCCGCAUAUUUCCACAAAUUAAUUGGAUCCUGGCUUAUGAACACGUCUGUGUUUUAAAGUUUGCAAGCCUACUGGUAUUCUGAGAGGCAUUGAAAACCUGCUAAAAGUAUGGGUGUAUUAUUAUUGUUAUACAAUUUCUGUACAGUACACAGAUUUUGGACCAGCCGUUUUCUACAUGGACAUAGAAAAUGCAACAUGAAAAUGAUAUUUUUUAAUUCUUUCUUUUAAAAUCUAUAUUUCAUGUGGUUUUGAGCUACUUGUGACACCUUAUAUUUUCAUUAUGAUGAGUGUAUUUAAGGCUAUGUGAAAUAUUAAAAGAUCUUAAUAGCUGUUUUAGGGAAAUAAACCUUUACAGUAUAUGCCAGAAGAGCUCUGGUAACUGGCAUGAAAAUUCAUUCAGAAUUUUUUUGUACUGCGACAGUGCUUGAUCCUCUUUGAAGUGUUCAGGAAUUUUAGCAAGUUAGGACUACUGUAGCACAUCAAGUUUCUGACAGACACAAAGCGCAUUAUGAGUAACAGUCAGUGGGAGUGAAAACUGGAUUCACAGUUUUCACACAAGAAAUCUGGUUGCCAGAGUUAGGCUUGAACAAAACCAUGGGAUUCAGCUGAUCACCCUCCACUUAGGUUUUGGAUACACAGAAAGAUCCGUUCACAAACAAACUGUAAACCAAGAGGUGUAUGAACUAGAAUAAAAUAAACUAAUGACUCCCUACUAAUUGUGUUUCACUUAAACCUCCUCUGAAACCCCUGGUCCUGUCUCGGAGACCCAGUACUGGAUGUACUGGCCUUAGGUUUCAUCCCAUGUGGGAGUUUCUAUAUUAUUGUUAUUUUGUAGUCUUGGAUGGUAUAAAACUAUGUGCUUGUUGCUGUGCACGGGGGUGAGUUUCAUACAGUAUCGAUACAAAUGAAAUUGUUUCAGUUUAUCCUUGAAUAACCAAGAACCAGAAAAAAAAAAAAAAAACAAAAGCAGAUUCUUGACUGUGUGUUGGAGUUUGCAUACAUCCUUACUCAAAAUUACAUGUAUCUCUGGGUGAGUGCAAAAUGUCCUUUAAAAGGCAGUAUUGUUAUUAAAAUAAUGCAAUUUCAUCAAAGUGCUAAUAGUUUUCGCUACUGAGAAUAAUUUAGUUCUUAUAAUGUGAGCAGUAAAUAAUUGCUCUUCUGGGACUUUUUUUUUAAACUAUGACAAAAAUAUGUGAAUGUGUACAUUUUGAGAGAGGCCUUAAAUGAAGCCAUUUAUUAGAAGGGCUUUUUCUUUUUCAGCUUGGGUGUGCAAGAAUAUGAAGGAGUUUAGUACAAGUAAUUAUAAAAAAGCUUGCUUGUGGAUCUCCCUGUAACUAACAAGACAUUUCGGUUUGCUAAGACGGUGUUUCUCUUUAGCUUAUGUCAGUAAUAGGAGCCCCCAUUGGCAAAUGUCUCCAAGGUUCUUGCUGUUCUGGACUUACUUUCUUCAGGGUGAUAACACAUCAUACAUCUGCCUUUUCUCAGCAGGAGGUUAUAAUCAGAAAUUCUCCCUCACUUUGAUCACACAUUUCAUGCAUGCUGGGUCAGAUGCUGCACCCACACAGUUAAAACACAACUUUCAUGAUAGUGGAUCAUGCCCUUCCUAUGCAGAUCUCAGCUUGGUAGGGAGAGGAGCUGCCCAUGAAGAAUAAAAGCAGCGUGUGCUGCAGUCAUCAAAGAGAGCUGAUUAGAGAAGGCAAAUCCCAUCUUCAUUAAGCAGAUCGGGACUGUGGUCAUGGCCAAAUGUGCAUUUUCAAGAAGUCAGGAUUGAAACUCCUGUCUUGCUUCAACUAGCUCUGCCACUAAGCAUUCUCUUUGUCUUUCUUGAAGGAAAAUACAAUUGGUUUGUGAUCUUUUGAAAUGAAAUGCAAGCCUUGGAACAAUAGGUCCUAAUGUGUGUGGAAUACACAGCAUCUCUUUUUGUGCUAUGUCUGUAGACCCAGGAAAGUCUAACCAUACAGAGCCUCAAGCUAACUAACCAAUUAAAAUAUUUUUAAUACUCUUUUUGCAAAGCUCACAUACUAAGCUGUUAGAAUUUACAUAUAUGGACUCCGAUCUUGGAGCUACAUCCAGACAAAGAAAGCCCUUGUUUUCAGACAAGAUCUUCAGGCAAGCACAAGAGAACACUUACAGGAUCAGGCUCUCAGCAAACUUCGCAGCUCUUCUCUCCUGCCAUCCAUCUUGCAGGGUUAGAGAGUUUCAUCAAUGCUUCAGCUGUUGGAUGUGAGUGUGGAAGAACUCCUCUUUUCAUGCUCUCUUCAACUUUGUAGCCUCAGUAGUUACAGAGGAUGUUUUCAAAGACUCAUUCUAACUUCAGACUCUAGGAUAUUUGUAACAGUGUUUAUGAAAGCAAGAAUAUCCAAGACUUGAAAGUAAGAAUGAAGUCUUUUCUUCUUCCUUAAAUCUCAUAAUUUCUGCAAUAUUCUUAUGAUUGUUACUACAGGGAGAAGGAAGCCUGAAAAAAUAGUUCCAUAACUAAUUGUUCUCAAUUUAAACAGUUUUAAAGCAAGAUUAUAAGGCAACUGCCUAUUAUGCCUUUGUUCUUCAUCCUACAAUUUCUUGUUUUUAUAUGGAAAUGCUAUAUGAAACAUAAAUUAUUGAACACCUGAAGUAGAAUAUGCGAGUAUUUAAGACGAAACAUCUCACCAAUUUGAUUCUGUAGGGCUACAACUUUACCUUUAAAAAUUGGUCAGAUGUGUAAGAAUAGCAUAGCGUACGUAAAAUACAGGGUGUUUCAAAAAGAUGGACCAAAUUUGAAAUCAUGACUGCUUUGCAAUCAGGGCCAUCUUUUUGGAACACCCUGUAUUUUUUUCUGAAAUACCUCCACAUAGCAGUAUGUCAGAAGUUACAGGAGCUGUGAACUACAAGCUUUAUCUUGGAACAGUAGAGCUCUAACUGUUGUCACUUUGGCAUUUUAUCAGAAUGAAUAACUGGAUGAGAUACUAACGUGCUUCAUGUUUUACAGCAUCUUUAAAACUGUUAUAUGUUUAAAGGCUUAGUUUUAAGUAGUUUUUCAUGGAACAUUUGAGGGAAAUUUCAUCUAACUAUACCAGCAGUAUUAUUUUGUAGUUUGAACUGGUAUCUUCAAGAACUUAUUCUUAUUACUGCAUCUUUUAUGUUUGAUGUUAGUUGCUUAAUUUUCCUAAUAUAUAGUAAAAAUGAACAGCCGUUCUACAACUGUCUUGUUAUUUCUCAACAGUUUCAUUUUUCUAACCAUCUCUGGGGAUGGUUUUUGCACACUAUUAGCAACUUCAUUUUCUGAUAUACCUGAAUGCAAGAAAGCAAAUAAUCAGGAAGAAAACUGUAGAAAGGAUGAAGAGGAAAGGUUUGCUAAGAAUGAGUUAAAAUAUUUUCCAACCUUUUUACAGCUGCUCUGCUGGAAAUACCAGCAGCUAUAAUAGAUUAAAGAAGUUAAAUUACAGAGUUUUGUGUGCCAAUUUUGUUUUAAGACAGUAAUACGUUCUAAAGUUUUGUAUCCUAUUAACUCAGGAUGGUUUUAAAACAAAACAAAACAAGAAGCUUUUCAGCAAGCACAUCUAAUUCUUCUUGAAUAGAAACUACACUGUAAAGAAAUUAUGUUCUAAGGAAGUUUCUUACGCCACAAAGUGAAGCAUGAAAGCUGGGAAAUGCCAGAUCUACAGGUCUAAAUCUGUUCCCCAUCCAUCGCUCUGAAGACUGAAUGUGGCAGGGCCCUGCUAGAAAGUGACAGUGCUUGAAUGCACACUCAUGGGUAUGUCUUUGCCUCCUUGAGACUCAGUGCUUGUAAUUUUUUCUUCGUGCUUUUAAGAGUAAACAGAAUAGAAACCUUAACUGUUGCAUGGUGUUGUUGCCUUUAGUGGUGUUUCAUGUAGUACAAGAAAAACAUCUAUUUGUCUGCCUGGGCUCACAGGAUCUGUGGUGCAAUCCCUGCUUUCCACUGCAGACCGGCAUCAAGCUAAAUUCCAAAAUGCCACCAUCUAAUAGAAAACACUUUGUUCACAUUGUUAAUGAGACCAAACACAUACAGCUUUGUGGGGUUUUUUUCAGACUAUUUCUAUUGAAUAAGAAGUAUUAUCUUUUUAGAACUGAACAAAAAUUAAAGCAAACAUUUCACAUGUAUCUAAGGACAUACUUCUUAGGGAAAAGUGGGGAGUGCAGAAUGGGAGAGGUAAAAAUGUUCUAAGUGUAUAACACCAAGGCCUAAAGACACAUAUGGAGCAUACACUUUGCUUCAUAAUUCUUCAUCACUGAGGUUUUUUGUUUGGAUUUUAAACUUCUCAGUUGUAUUUGUGAAUUGUUCACCUUUCUUUCUCAGAUCUUUUGCAGGUUGUUAUGUAUUUAUGGAUGGAUUUGUAGUACCUAUAUAAAAAGCAUUAACCAGAGGGAGAAAGAAUAUAUGUGGGGAAAGGAUGGAGGGUGUAUUGGAGCAUUGCAGGACACAGUUUCCUAGGAUGAUUUGUUUGGAAGCUUUCAGUUUUUCUCAGAAACUGAUGUUUCUUCAUGUCUGUCUGGGUUGUCUUGCUUUUGAGCCACUUCCUCAACUGAGGUUCCUAUUGUCUGUGAUAGUGAGCUACAAGUGUGCUAGAUUUGGCCCAUUGAAUGUACAGAUGCGAGACUUAUUGAGAGUGACACUGUAAAAUGAAUAUGUACACAGUGCAAUUUUAGGGAUAAUAUUAUGCAAAUAUUCCUAAGCAUGACACAUUAAAAUGUAGUUACAUUUUAGACACAUCCAUUAAUAUUUUCCCUGAAUAUCAAAUACUUCUUCCCACCUGCCAUCUCUUCCAUGUUUUCACUUGCUAUGAUGGUUAGAUGUCAGAAAGCUGUCAUAACGCUGUGACUAGGCUUUUUGGUUAGUAGAACCUUGCACAGUCUGCAUUUAUAUUGUGCUCAACGUUUUAAAAACAGAUUAAACAUUUCAAACCCUACCAACAAGACAUAUUUUUAAUAAGUACUUCUUCCUGUGAGGCAGAUUCUGAAUUACUUUUGCAGUUUCUAGCAUACAGUAUUACUGUGUUUUGCCCAAAGCAGUAUACAUUAAAAAAAAAGGCUUAAUAGCUCAUACUAAUCCUGCUUGCACUCCCACUUCAGACUCACGUUUAUACAUAAAGUGGUGUCGGUUUAGAAAGAAGGCAGUGAUGCUGGGUGCUCAGGGUUUGAUGGUGGUGAUAGUUAGACCACAAGUCACCUAAACAACCAUUUUAAUACCCUUGCUAAACAAGAACAGUAGAUUUCUCUCUCCUUGGAAUUUUAUCAGCAGGUUAGUUCAUACGCCCAUAGUCACUUAUAGUGUAUCUUUAAAACUUUAGCUCUGCUGUUUCAUAUUGAAAAGAAAGUUGCCAUGGUAAUUUUUUGAAAGUGUCAAUCAUAGGCCACACCCUCCUACUCCCCACCCCUGCCUAACACAAAUCCAAACUUUCUUUUCAUCUUAGUUUGUGAACAUUUUCACUUAACAGCUGUAUUUAAAUGCCAGAAUUCUGCAUGUGACAACUAAGCAAGCAGAAGAAUUGCCAAUGUCGAUAAACAGUCAGAGCUCUUGUUGAAUCUUGGUAGCAUUUGAAAGUCAGUAUUUUAUUCUCCUGAUCAUGGCUGUCCAUUAAUACCAUUUUACCUGUGCCUCUAAGUCCUAUGAUUUCCUUUCCCUCUUUUAAAAAAAUGACUGAAAAAACCCUUUAUUUAAAGAAAGCCUUUGGUAGAUUGAUGCCCUCUUGUUGGUUAGAUGGUGCAGAAGCUUGGUGAUUUCUUUAUAGGGAAGCAGCAACAUGUUUCCAAGUCUUACUAAGGAUGUGAAAAUCCUAUUGUAAUAUCCUUUUGAUGAGUAGUAACAGAAAAGUCAUGAUCUCUCUGAACAUCUCUUAGCUGCAAAGGAUAGGAGAGGCACGUGAAGAUCUAUAUGUUUAAUGUGCUUCACCAAACAGUUCCCCCUCUCCUGCCAUUCUUCACAAGGCCUGAACACCACUUUGUGAAUUCUACCAGUGAAGGUACUUAUUCAUGUGAGUAGUCCCAUUAUUUUCAUAAGUAUAGAUUAAGAGUUUGGCUUUGUUUUAUAGUGAACUACUGUGUAUUAUUCUUUAUAUUAUUUUCACAUAUACAGAAACCAUCAUUCUGGGCUACAAUUCCUGUGCAUUCAUUUAGACAAAUCAUAUAAAAACAUUAUAGUCUAAAAACAGAAUAUUGGCAAAAAAUGUCUACUGGCAGUGAAGGUCAGAAGCGUAACUUGAAGACUUAAUAAAUUAACCAAUAGAUUGGCUGUAAACCUGUACUAAUAACAAAUGUAGUUGUAAUGGUAACAUUAUGAAAAUAUCAUUAAAAACAUCAUAGUCAGGUAUCUUAACAUUUAUAGUUUAAGCAGGAUUGAUAUCCUCUUAUGCACUUGAAAUGAUUGACUUUCAUCCCUAAACUGAACAAAAUAUAUUUCUUGGAGCAUUGUGUUUUCUGAAGUUUCUUCAUACAAAUCUGUUUCAAAUUUACUGCUCAUGAUCCUGCUCAUUCCUCUAGAAAAAAAAAAAAAGUAAAUCACAGACUACACUGGAAAAAGAUUGAUUAUGAAUAAAACCAAAUAAAAUAAUUCUUCUACAAACAAUUAUAAACUAUUUAGAUAAGAUUGUUGCAUGCAUGUAAAAAUUUAAUAGAAAUAUACAUAUAAGAUAUAGAUUAAAGAUUGUUACUUAGAAUAAAAAUUUAUCAUCUGAUAUCUUGAUUCAGCAAAAUGCAAAUAUUUCUUAUUAAACAUCUGCUGAGGUUUCCAUGUUUGUACUCCAGCUGGGAGUUAGGACUCUUUAGGGACUGACAUCAGAAGAAGUUAAAAACUGAUAGAAAUCUUGGCAAUUAAGUACAUUUGACAUUUUGAAGAGGGAACAGCAAAAAGGAGUAAGAAAGUGCUUGGAUUAGAUUAGACUAUGUUCCAUCAGGAAAAAGUAAACUGAAGUAAGAAGGAGCCAGUGGACAGGUCUGACCAAAUAAAACAUUUUGGUGAUGAGAAAUUAUGAAAUAUAGAUGACAUUGAUUACAGAGUAUUUUUUUCUCACACAGCAUUUUAGCAGUAGGAAGGAGAUUAAUUAAACCUUAUAUUAAAAUAAACAGUAGGUUUCUGCGGGGUUAAGUAUUUGAAUGGCAAUUAAAUAUUCCUAAAAGUUCUACAAUAUUAUCAGUAUAAUAGACUUGCUUCUGCAGACUAAAAGAAUUCAUGUUAAGCCUGCUGUCAUUUAAGUAGUACAUCAUAGAUGUGCUCCUGGGAGACAAGUUUCCUCAAAGCACAGAAAUCCAAAUUGGGAGAAAAAAUAAAAAUGAACAAUGAAAAUACUUUUUUCCAUAUAGGUUAUUAUAUUGUUCUUAUCAUCAUAAUAUCUGGUUACUUUCUGGUGGUGCAUUAAACUAUGGGAUUAGCAUCUGUUGUUUAGUGCUCUGCUGUAGCAUGAUAAUUCCUGUAGACUUGGGGGAAGGAGGAACAGGGAAACUGUGGAAACAUGCUUAAAUGUUAACAAAUUCUGCAUGUGGAAAUGUUAAUUGAGAGCAGAGGAAAAAGCAGUAAUGAUGAAAAUUAAAUCCAAUUAGGUGAAAGGGAACACAUUUACGUGUUUUUGCUGACACUGCAAAGACUUUUGGAAGUUAAGGCUAGUAAGGGGUUGCUGUUUGACCCAUGAAGAUUGUUAUCUAUUUCAAGAGUAAUUCAGAAAUGUCUGACAGACUGUUAAAAGGUAUAAAAACCUAUUAAAAAGGCCAGAAGUUUUGACUAUUGGAUUUUAACCAGCCUAAUAUUUAAUUUGGAAAGGAACGAAGUUUUCAAAAUAGGGUAUCUUUAUAGCUCUUCUAUAAGAUUAUUCCCAGGGCAGGAGUUUUAGAGAACCCUUCCUUUGGUAACAGCUGCUGUGCCCAACAAGGACUGAUGGCACCUGGGCAACCUGCAACCUUGUAUUCUAAGUGAUGCUGGGCAAUACCUCGCAAACCUGCAUUUAGAAUAUAGUCAAAGUGAAUAUUAAAGGGAGAACAGUCAAAUGCAAACAAGCUAAAAAAUAAAACUGUGUUCAGUACACAGAAAAAGCAAGAAGAUGAAAAUACAUAAAGAGUCAGGGCCUGAGUGGCCUCUCAAAAUAAUUAAACCUAAGCUAGAAGAAAUGGAGUAAGAAAAUAUCAAAGAACAAUUGAAGGGACUUUUUCUAUCAAAUAUAAAAGGAAUUUGAUGAUAUUUUAAAAACCUCUGCAGUUCUGAUGUAUUUUUUUUAAAGUAAUUGUUUAAAUGAACAAAAGAGAUUCUAAAGAAAAUCUGUAUUUAAAAUAUCUAUGCACAGUACAUGUUAAAGAAAUGUCCAGCUAAUUAAAGGAUAAUUCUUCAUUGACAUCAAACUUGUGCAAAAAUGGGUCUGAAGCAUGUUGAGAACAGGAUCUUGCAUUGUUUUUAUUUUGUGUUACAGGUUAUUUUGUAAAUGUUUCAGCUGUCUUUCUCAUGGCCAUUACACAGUUCUGAGUUAUUUCAAAGAGCAAAUAGAUAUUUCAUUUUGCAACUUUUUCUGUAACUGGAAAAAGCACAACAUUUGAAAUCCCAGUGUUCAUCCUGCUGAAAACUUUAAUUCAGAAAACAAUGUAGAGCUUGAAUUUAGACCCAGAUAUCAUACAAAAAUUGUGCUGGAUUUUUACUUAAAUCGGUUUAUGCCGAGUAAUCUUGUUUUCACAAAUCCUAGAAAGGCAAAGCUACAUAUUUUCCUAGUUGUAAUAGGCAAUAUUUUCUAUUUCAAGUAGCAUGAGAUAUUUAAGAAUUCAAAUAAGCAAUUUGUAACUAUUAGCGGAAAAAUAUCAAUGGCCCAGCUCGACUCAGACUAUAGGGACUACAGGUGGACAAGGCUUUCACAUCUCAGCAUAUUUUCAACAGGCAGAUGCCUCUGUUGUUGAGCAACAUAUGUGAAUAGAACCUCUAGGAACUCACCGUAUGACCUUACCUGAAAGUUGUGUGGUUGCUGCCUUAACAUUUUUGCAAACUUUAUGAUUUACAGUGCACAACCUGACAUUAGGAGCAGAAUCUGCUUUCUUGAAGAGCAGAGCUCUUAAUUUGCAGCAACUUAUCAAUUAUCAUUCCUCCUCAGAAGUAAAUAUUCUCUUGGUAGCAGUUUCUUAUGGUACUGCGGGGAUGAUGCCACAAGCAGAAAAAAUUGAAUUACAUAUCAGCUAAAUAAUUUUUUAUAACACCCACAGAUCCAUACUAGUCUUUCCUAUGUCCUCUGCUCCAGAAUGUAAUUCCAAGGAGGGCUUCAUGAGAGAGAGAAAGGUUGUGAGAGACAUGAAACAUUUACUCUGUCAUACACUGUACUCAAGGGAGUAAUACGUGCGUUUCACUGCCAAGCAAUAUUGUCACAGAGGUUCUUUGACUAGAUAUGUCUGUGCAUAAACAUACACUCUAGUAUUUACAGAGUAGCUCAGGGUGGGCCGUACACCUGUAGAAUCAAAUUACUCUUGGUAGGUAACUCACUAAGACCAAAAGUAAAAAGGGGGCUUGAUCACAUCACAUUGUCUCAAAAAGUACUGACUUUUGGGGAGGAGUUGCCAAAAUAAAUACAUAAAAUAGUUUAUUAUAAAUGAGUUUGAGAUGCGUAAUUUUUCUCCCACAGGGAAAAAAAAAAAAAAAAGUAGUUUUCAGAAUGAAAAUCACAAAAGGAGGUUUGAAUGAAACAGUGCUGUGGCAGAAAGUCGGAUUUGGUGAAAAUGUGAUUCCCUAUCAUAUAUUUGGUUUACAAAUACUUAGUGAUUAGUAUUUACAUUAUGAUUGAUAAUGUAUACAAAUACUUCUGCUUCUUUUUCAUUAUUAGGUACUUCUAGUAUGUUGCCACCUCUCUUGUGGGCUAAGCAGUAUUUAUGCUCGUUUAUUCAGAUUGUUGGGGCAUCCUGGGUUCUUCAUUAGGCACAGAGACAUCCAUGUAUGUCCUGAGUGAGAAAGAUCAUGGAUACGAUUGAAGAAAGAUGUAAGUGGACAAAUGGGGAGGAAGUUCAGGGAAACUAGUAGGCACUAUUCAUGGCAGAAGCAACUUUUUGCCAGGUAGGUAAGGAAGCUAUUUAUUAGGAGAUCCCCCACAUAUGUAUGGGAGGAACCACUUGGCUGUUUGAAGCUGCUACAAGUUGUGAGUAGAUACCAGCAUAAGAUAAAGAUCUGAGGUGGACGCUGGCAUACUGAUGGAUGUUUUGGUUCAUCUUAAUGUUAAAUGUUACUGUUUAAAUGAUCUCAAAAGACCUCAAUAAAGUACAGGAGUUUUUUUAUGUUUACAUAAUUGAAAAUCACAUCUGCGAGAGGUGGCUUUGUUUUCAAGGCUCAACAAAGUUCUGCAUGUCUGCUUGUAUUGUUAUGGAUGGUUGCCCUAAUUUCAGUGAGAAGGCUAAUUGUAGUAAAGAUGAAUACGAGUGUAAGAGUUUGCAUGAUAAAGGCCUAGAGCCUUUAUACAGAUCCAUUCCUCUCCCAGAGUACAUAAAUAAAAGGUUCAUCACUGGACAUACCAUAUUAAGGACAUGGUUACUUCAUGCUUUGUGCACAACAUUGCAUUCAAUCCAGUGUAUGUUGUAAAAGUUCAUAUAGGAAAUUGGCAUUCCUUGUGAAAGUUUAUUUCCCUUAAAUUCACAAACCCAUGGCUGUUAUUAAUUCUCUAAGUACAGAACUAGAUUCUGUUUGCAGAACUUUACUGCAUUUUAACUAAGGGGACUGCCUUCUGCAUGUUGCAUUCUGCUUCUCUCCUGCUCAAUAAAAGCUAUCCAGAAAUGCAUUCCAGAAAUCUGGUUGCUUGGUUUCAUGCUCUGCAAGCAUCGGUUACCAUAGUGUUGUAGAAAAAUACCUUUUCAGGAAGCAGAUACACAAUCAAAUAUAGCCCACUGAAGCUGUGCUGAAUGAACCAUCUGUUAACACAUUGAAAGUAACGUAUUUGUAGAUUAAAUGAUUAGUAACCUUUAAUUUCCUGUUACAGUUGGAGAAAUACAAAAAAAAGAGGGCAUGAGAAUAUCUUCAGAAGCAUCCCUUUACAUACCCUGAAGCUGUCUACCACUUGAAUGUACCUCAUUACAAAUGUCUUGCGACAGUGUUAUAAACUGACCUUCAACAACCAAGUCUUUCUGGAAAGCAAACCAGACAAUUCCUUCCACCUAGACUGCACGCUUUCCUAUAGAUACUCUGCCUCUGAGCCACCGGAACAAUUAAUGCCUCCUUGUUAUUAAGCCAAAAUGUGCCCAGUACUGAUCAAAAAGCAUUAUAUUCGUAUUGGAUCAUUCUUGUUCAAAGGUUGCUUUACAUGUUGUUGUUGUAAUAAAUAUAUGCAAAUUCUUGUCUUUGAUCCCAAAGAGCUAGGCAUUAUACAAAUUUAAAGUCCCUCAGUCCAUACAACCCAAGUAAACACAUAGUAGUAGUUUGGAAUUCCAGGAAGAUGUUGAAACAGGACUCAAGUACUUCUGUCCCAAUUUGAAAUAAGAAAUGAAGUUCUUCUGCUUAUUACUAGAAAAGGUAAAAACAGCUUCUAGACACAUGACUCUUGUUGGUUCUCUGAAAUCUCCUUUGAGCUAUUCAGGCAUUCUGUAUUGAAAAUUUCAAACCAGUAACUAACACACUAUGCUGUCUGCUUUCGUUUAAUGGUUCAGCAUAUUUCAGGUUAUUUAUAAUAUAUCACCCUUUGUCCAAGCCUGAAGCUUUGCUUGUCAAGUGUGAACUAGAACUAUCUCUUAGGCUCAAGUGUGUUUUCAGCUACACUAUGGUAAUAUUGGCUGUGUUAUGUCUCCUGUCUCCCCAUCAAGAAAACAAUUUGAUGUUAACAUGAAAUUCACAGUGUUACAUAUUCACUGGGGCAGCAGAUGUAUGUAAUAUCAUGAAAUUUAAUGAGCUGUGAAGUCACGAAUCAUAUGAAUUAAUGUAUCAUUACUAAAUCUCUGCAUUGCUCAAUUCAUGUACUGAACAUGUACACAGAAUGUUUGGUAUUUUCUAUGUAGUUAUUCGGGAUUUUCUGAGAAAAUGUUCGUAAUUGAUUUGCCAAAUCAAAUCUUUGGAGCAAUAAUUAUUUCUUUUUAGGAAAAUUUUAAUUGCAGGUGUUUUCACCAGUACAGAACUAAAUUCUAAUAAAGAUGAAUAAUGACCAAGGAUCUGGUAGCUAAGAUAUUCAACUGAUUACUCAACUGAAAGCUCAUCUCAUGGCAGGAAGUCUGGUUGUACACAGGAAUAUCACCAAAAUGUGUAGGACAAAAACUAAAGAAAUGUCCUUAUGUGAUUGCACAAUGUGAAUUUCACAUAGAUAGUGUGGAACUGCAGUUUGAUAAAGAUUUUGAGUUAUGUGUGCUCUCAAUCUUCCAAAAAGACAAGCUGAGGUAAUUAGUAGUGCUUUACUUAGAACAUGAGUUUUCCAUUAUUCCUGUGAGUUAUUGCUUUCAAACAACACAGUAUCUCUUCUGUGGUGACACCAACCAGCUAUAAUGUGCCAUUUGGUUUGUUUGUUUGAUUUUGUCAGGAAAUGCCAAUUCAUUGAAAAGAAAGCUGCUUGCAUUAGCACAAUUUCCUUUUGGAAAAAAAUAUUGGAAAAAUGUAUAGUGAAAGGUCCUGCCUAGACAUUUUCAAAAACUAGAGUUAAUUUUUCAUGUUUUAAAUAACUUUUCAGGCCUGUAACCUAUAUUUAAUAUAUAAACAGUUCCCUUCUCCAUAAUUCCAUAACCUGUAAAUUAUACAUGUGUAGUGGAAGCAGGAGUUAAGAUCCAGAGUCCUCUCUCCCCUGCCUUUGAUCACUCAUAGCCUGCUCAAUCUUCCGAGAAGUCUCCAUGCCUUUGAUCUCCUCUGCCUCCGUCUCUAUGUUGUUCAGGUUAUCUGAGGAUGUUGAUUAUUUGAAAAUGUCAGUUUUACUUACAAAAUUAUGCCAAUUAAAACUUUAAAAAAUUGAAAUAAUAGCCAUUUGUCCAAAAAUAUUGAAGAAGUCAAAAUCUAGAAUGAAUAUUUAAGACAUUCUAGCGUACCACGUGUUAAUUGCUCUAAUAUAAAAGUACUCAAAAAUCUGGAUUUGAAGAUUUGUGCUGUUGGGAGUGAUAUUUUUUUGCAGACUCAGAAAUUCACAGUAGGGGAAUUGAAAAGUGGGAUGAUGGAAACUGUUUCCUAUUCAGUUUUAAUAAUUUUUCCUUCAAAACUAAUUGAUCCUUUAGUCUGCUGUAUCAAACACAUACCUUACAUUGGGCUAUAAUGCACAUGUUCUUUCUUUUCAACUUGGAGAUAUGACCUAACCAGUUUGGGUUUUUUUUUUGGCUAAGAAAACUCAGCCUUCUUAUAGCAUAACCCAGCAAAGUGCAUACACAAGCCACAUAUUUUUGUAAUUGAAUUACCAAAAUAUGUGGGGUGUAUUUGGAUAUGUGUACAUACAUACCUGCCAACAAAACAUUCUGAUGUUUUUGGAAGUGAUGUCCAGAUUUGUAGGAAUAUAAGGACCUAAAGACAUAUGUAACUUCCUUCCUGAAAUAAUUAGGAAUGUUUCAAAAAUACUUAUUUUGUCUCUUUGCCCAUAAGCAAUCGUGAGACUGGUCAAUUAUAGCUGCUGAGGGAUAGGUGACACACAACGCAUGUUCUCAUAAAGUCUACUUUUGGCGCAAGCCAGCUAUGCAAAAUGUUCCUCUUACAUAACAUUGCAUAAGAUUUUAAGUUCUGAGCAACCAGGAUUCAUAUGGGACCAUAAAAACUGUUCAUCACUGAUUGAGAAACCAAUGGUACAAAGAAUGCCCUUGUGGCAUCCUUUUUGUUCUGGUUUAUAUUCAGGUCAAGAAUGAGUCCUAGGACAAAUAAGUGGCCCUGGAGGACCCUUGCAGGACCUGCAGGACAGUAGCGAACAGGAAUCCAUCUGCGCUUUCCACUGCGUUACAUCUGUGUGGAUCUCAGAUCCGUGAGGAUUUUUCAUUCUGAAGCCUACGAGAGCAUUGCUGUUGGUGAAGCUGUUCUCUAUGUUGGUGUCCAACUCAGCUAAGCACUGCAGCAGGUUUUAAAAGGAAGCAUUGGGGUGGGAAUUACACUGAUGCAGGACUAGGCACUAAGCAUGCUGCUAAAUCAGGAAUUAAUAAAAGAGUUUCUGGCUUCAAUUCUGGCUAUACUUGUUCUUGGCUUGAAGAGCUGUUAGCAAAAGGAGUUGACAUUGCUUUAUUUUUCACAAGUAGAAGGUGUGCAAGGAUUUAUUGUUGUUUACUCUCCUUACUAGCUAAUUCCCUGUGUUUACUGUCUUCCUACUCUAGUGACCAGGAAUUAGAUUAAGGUGUCUUCAGAGUUCAGUUUUCAAAGGUUGUGGUCAAGUUGGUGCAAACUGUGUAGGUGGUAUUUAGAAAUUAUCUAAUUCAAGGUAGUACUUAUGAUUCAGUGCAGUGUACUUAACACUAAGCAAUGUCAGGUAUUCCAUGCUUUAUACAAUAAUGACAAAUUGUUUAUUAAAACAAGUUAAUCUUUGGUACCUUUGGUUCUAUAACUGGAAAAAAUAUCUAACUGCCAUGGUACUCAGGCAUUUCGAAGAGUGAUGUGCUAGAAGCUUUUAACUUUGGGAAAAAAAUAGAUGCCUCAGAUUUUUUCAUCUGAUGGAUGGUGAUGAUAAUGCUCAGUUGUGUUUGCACUUAGACCUGCAAGAGACAAAUGAGAUAAAAAGAAUCUAAGAAGUGUUUUUCUAUGUCUAAGACUUGGAGUAUGUGAGGGGAUUGAAUGUUUUAUCUCGAGCUCUGAAGUUACUUGAAGCUUCUCGAGUGACAGUGGUGAAGUAAAUGGGGGCUGAAAGAAGAAUGCUGAAGGAAAUGUCUCUGGCAAAGCUUUUCCUAUCAUCAGGUUUGGUUUGGUAUUUUGUAACACCACAGCAUUUUCACCUGUCUGAGGUACUGUCUUGUUGUUUGUGGGGAAAGGAUCAUAUAAUUUUGUGCCUGAAUGAUCACCCCUAAAACCCUCAGUUUUUUCAAGAAAUGGGGAAUAUCGAUGGAGCCUGGCUCUUGCUUGGGCCUCGCUAUGGGCUCCUCUCAGCACUGGCCCCCCACUGGCACUGCAGCCAUGCUGCUUACUCUACUGUAAUGUGCUUCCCUGCAAAGAACAGAAGGGCGGCUCCGGUUUGCAGUGGGUAAUUUCUUCGUACUGUGGACCAGUUAUUGGAAAAGGCUUAUCUGAAUUUUCAGUAGCUGUUGCAAUUCAGUAUAUUGGCACCCUUUGCUAUUUAUGAAUAUCUGCGCUCUUAAGGGAAUAGCUGAUCUUAAAACAUCUGUGAAGAAGGCUUUUCAGUGUGAACAAGAGUACUGGCUAUCCAUUGCUCAGGUUUUUUUGCUGUUUAUUUUUAAAGAUUUUCUUUCUCUGGUAGUGAAGCAGGAAGAAGCUUGUGAAGUUCAGGUACCCAGUCAUACAGCCAGAGUGGCCAAAAGUUUAACAGGUUGCAAACAACAUAGUAAAGUUUAGAGGAGAAGGAAUUUAAAGCAAGAUUGUUCAUGAAAAUUUCAGAAAAGGGAAAAUUACAGUUAAAUUUGUGAUGAGUGACAUAUCUGGCUCUUGCCAUAGAGCAUCUUGCUCAAGUCUCUUAAUUUGAUGCUGUUAACCUUAAGGCAGAAAAAAAGAGAAGGCACAGUGCCAUUUGAAGAUAGACUGAAAGUAGCAAGCAGAUGAUAACUUUUCAUUUGCAUGCAUUCUAAAAUAAUUUUUUCACCUCUAUAUACACAGGGACUUUCACAGAAUCACAGAAUGUUAGGGAUUGGAAGGGACCUUGAAAGAUCAUCCAGUUCAAUCUCCCUGUCGGAGCAGGAACACCUAGAUGAGGUUACACAGGCAGGCGUCCAGGCAGGUUUUGAAUGUCUCCAGAGAAGGAGACUCCACAACCUCCCUGGGCAGCCUGUUCCAGUGCUCCAUCACCCUCACCGUGAAGAAGUUUCUUCUCAAAUUUAAAUGGAACCUCCUGUGUUCCAGUUUAUACCCAUUGCUCCUUGUCUUAUCAUUGGUUGUCACUGAGAAGAGCCUGGCUUCAUCCUUGUGACACUCACCCUUUACAUAUUUAUAAACAUUAAUGAGGUCACCCUCAGUCUCCUCUGAAUUAAAGAGACCCAGCUCCCUCAGCCUUUCCUCACAAGGGAAAUGGUCCACUCCACCAUCUUUGUUGCUCUGCACUGGACUCUCUCCAGCAGUUCCAUGUCCUUCUUGAACGGAGGGUCCCAGAACUGGACACAAUAUUCCAGAUGCGGUCUCACCAGGGCAGAGUAGAGGUGAAGGAGAACCUCUCUCGAUCUACUAACCACACCCCUAUUAAUAUGCCCCAGGAACACUUUGAGAAUGCAGUCUGCAGAGCAAGUCCAUUUUACUGCAUAGUGUUAUACCAUAGAACAUUACAGUUACCCAGAAAUGUGUAAUGCAUCCAGCACUUACGUGUCCUCUUCACUUUGUGUGUUCAUACUUGGUAGUUUUGGUUUUGUGUUCAAGAACAACCAUAUGAAAGAGCAGAAAUUUCCUUCCUCCUCUCUCUCUCUCCCUUUGUUGCUGUGUUUCUUGCCCAUUCUCUCUCGGCUUUUCUGUCAUGUCUCCUAUGGGUUGCCAUUGCCCAGAGAAGGCUCGGAGUUUUCCUUUCUGGUUAGUUUGCAAACUGCCCAGUAAGCUCAGAAGGUUGAGAUGCUGGUUGUUCUGCGAGAGCCGAGUACGGACAUGGAAACCACAUUCGACUGUGAGCAGAAGCCCUCAGCCCAGCCCAGGUUUCCUGUCUUCUUUGCUGUCCCCUUCCUGCCUUCCGGGUGGAGGAAGGAUUGGUGCCCUCUUCUCCCAUGAAGUCGGUCCUGUGCAGUCUCCCUCCACCCAGCCUCCCCACCUCCUCCAGCUGCAGAUUAAUAGCACCAGACGCUCCCGCAGAUGAGUCCUUUUGAUUCCCUUUGUGUUGCCCUUGUGUUACUUCAUAAGCAAAGCACUCUGAGAUUCAUCCAUGUCUCUAAUUGUCACCGGGCACAUAUGCAAGUGAUUUUUAUAACAUCCUUCUUGAAUAUUGGUGAAAUGAGAACUCAUUGUUGAGAGCUAGCCACAUGUUGAAGAGUUUUUCCAUGCAGGAUAGUAAAACUGACUGUGUAGGAUUCUAUGUCUGUUGUCCCUCAAAAGCUGCUGCUCAGAUUUGCCCAGCUCAGACCGCCUAUUAUUUGUAAUUAGUGGCAAACACCCUUCUGAGAUCAGAAAGUCAGAUGUUGCCUUGUCCUUUUCACAUCAUCACUGAUAACAAUAGUAGUAAAUUUGAAAAAGAUAUGAGUUCAUUGUUGUUUAGUUGGAGAUUUCUACUCAGUUCUAAUGAAACCUUUAUUUUUCACCAUGGUUCAAAGUGCACUUGGGUUCUUAGGUUGCACGUUUGUGAGUGGUUCCUUUGAAGACAUUGAUGUACUGUGACCUAAACAUUUUUAUGGUUAAUGGUAAAACACAAGGUGGAAUGAACAGAGCUUGAGUCCUACAUGCCCUGUUAGGAAAAAAAUAAAAAUAAAAAUAAAAAAUAAAUAAAUAAAAAAAAAAUCCAAAAUCUGUUUUCAUCUGCUGACUCAAAUCAAUAAGAAACAUACUAAAAUGGAAUAUCAAGUUUCUGUUUCUACAUACUUGUUAAUUAAAAACAUUUCAAUUGGCUUCUGAUUUUUAUGAAUCUGGAUAUAUCAAUUUAGUUUUAAACAAUCUCAAGGAUCUUUAUGGGAGAAUCCACCUGGGUCAUUUUUAUGGCUGAGGCAUAACGACAUACAGAGUUUACCUGUGGUCCCUGGAAGUCAGUGUGGUCUCCACGGUCCAGGCCAUGGGACUAUUGUGGCAAGCAGCCGGAGUGACAAGCAGCAUUUCCCCUUGCUGACAGCACUGAGGCAGCCACCUUUAGAUCACAGGGAAAAGUGUCUCUGGAUUCAAACCCGUGCAUAUGGCAUUUCACUCCAAAAGACAAUUUGAGAGCGCUUACACCACCUCACUGCAUUGGAGGGCCUUCCUCAGGCUGCUGGCCUUCAAAAAGCUCCAAAUCUGGAAAAGAGAGGAGCUAAGCCACGGACUGAUUUACUGGGGCUGUAGCAAACUUCUCUUACACCAGGCAGCUCCCACCAGCUGGGCAGAGCGGGGCCAAUCCCAGCUGUGCUGGGUUGAUAGGCAGAGUGGGGUCACAUCCAUCCUCUGAUGUUGGACCCAGCAUCUUCUCCUGGCCCCUUGCCGCUGCUCGGCCAUGGGGGCUGCUCCGUCUCCCUUCUCCUCACUGCCAUACCCCUUCAUCAUCUGGAGAGGCUGCCCUGAGUGCUCUCCUCCACCCAGCCACACCUGCCCUCUCCAAAACCUGGGUGCGGGGGCUGCCCCACACUGCCAGCCUGCUGCUUGCACCACCUCUGUGGCCCGCCAGCCCCUGUGGCCAGGGGGACAGCCCCAGCACCUCCCUUUGAGGGCUGUUCUGCCCUCCUAGCUGUCUUCCUCCACUUCAAAGCCUCCAUUCUCACACUUCCUUCCUUCAGUAAUGAACCUUCAAUUUCCUUCAGGUAAAUAAAGUGAAACUGGAAAGAACUGUAAAACAAAACAUAAAAGUAGCUGAGCUGGAGGGUUACUGCCCACAGUGGCCCUGGGAAUGGUUUUUCCUGUCCUCCCGCUGUGGUUUCUAGCCUGUUGUCUCCCACUUUGUUUGCCCUUCCUUACCAGUUUUUUAGCUGUAAGCUCUUUAGCAUGCAGCCUCCUCUUCGCAGGGGCAUUUGUACAGAUGCCAAUAGGUAGAGAGGCUUCUCCCGUGUCUCUGUUUUAUUCAUGUGACAAUCAGACAAAUGACCACAUUUUAAAAAUCUCUUCUGCAGUAGCUACUAAGCUUUGUGGUGUUGAAACAGUCAGUGGAUUUUUUCUCAUUUGUUCAUAAGACUGGGCUAUGAGAGAAAUUCUUCUAUAUGAGGUUUUUAGGCACUGGGAGAGUGUGCAUAUGUUGCUUAGGAGGUUACAUGGUAUUUUCAUUUGGAAGUGACAUUUUACGUGACAUUUUACCUUAGAACAAUAGAUGGGCAAGCCCAAAAUUGCAGGUCUGUAGCAGAAGAGUUAUGUCUAUUACUUAGUCUAUUUAGAAACUUAUAUCUUUUAUAAAUUCUGCCUGAUUGCAUCUCUUUUCACGAAAUCCAGAUGAAAUGCAUUUUGACUGGUCUCAAAUGCGCUGGUUUGCAAACUUGCAGACCAGCUGUCCUACUCACGAGUGUAGAUAAGAGGGCUCAGAUGAAGCAGUUUGUGCUGCUGGAAAGACAACCAGCUUUCUCAGGAGACUGCUUUGAGGGAGAUUGCAGCAAUAUUGCAUCCCCACUGUUACUAGUGGGUAUUGCCACACACGUUUACAAACUAUGCCGGAUAAAAUCAGGAGGUAAUAAAGACAGGUGAAAAGAAGAUAUGAGAGAUCUGCUGUGUAGUUUUUUUUUGUUUGUUUCCUUUUUAUUUCGUUAAGGGAGCAAAAAUGUCCAGGGGAUGGCACAUUAACUCAGGGAAAAGCGAGUGCUGCUUUAAAUCAGACAACUUGUUAUACCAAGUGCUUUAUUUUGGGAACUGUUUCCGUAUGUUAUGAAGGAAAGUUGCAGACUAGGCAAGUUUACUAGACCUUUAAUUGCUACAUUUAGGAGAAAGGCGCCUUUUUUUUUCUUCUUUCCCUUCCCCCCCCUCCCCUUUUUAACGACAAGAAGCCAGAGUUUGCUGUGCAAACGAAGCAGGCUUUGCAAGAAUCAGAUUCACUUUGGACGACUCUUCACAUUCCUAGUCAUCAUUACAUUAGGUGGCACAAUUCCAUCUCUGGUUGAUGGGCAGAAAAAGUGGGCAGCCUGCCAGGUAGACGUUUCCAUGGCUCCCAACCCCCAAAGGUGAUGCGUUUUUCAGCUAAUUCAAUGAAGAGUGGGCUGAACUUUGGGUAUAAACUAGACAAUAGCUGCCUUCGCAGUAUCAGCAGAAUGGUUUAUGGGAAUGCACUCCACAUUUGGCAGAGCAUCAUGUGACCUUACGGCUGAGAUUUUGUGAUGGUGCCAACGGAGACUUGGAAAGCAGCGCCCGUUCUGACUUUUUUCCUCUUCUCUUACACAGCUCAGAAAAUGGUGGAUCUUAAUACUUGACUUUACCCAGACUCAGCAAGCGAUUGAGCUUUGAAGCACAACUUUGCCUUUAUUCUGGCUUUUUUGGCACACCACCAGGAGGCUGUCCCUUUCACGCCUGAUAAAUUCUGCUUCUUAUCUCCAAAUAGAGAAAAGAAAGAAAGAAAAUAUAAGCAAAAUAUUUAUGACUCAUAACUGCAUUUUAACUGUCUGUUUUAUUUUUUUAUUGCUGACCUGUAGUUUAGAACAGCCCUCCUGAGUGUCUGAAGGAUAAAAGUUGUUUUUUCAUUUUUCUGCCUUUUUAUUUUAUUUUUUUUUCCUUCCUUCUGUUUAAUGAACAGGCAUUUGAACCGGGCAAAUGGGGCGACAGCAUUGAACGUGAGCUCAUUGCAGCAUAGUGUAGCAAACUGGCACCCUGCCUUUUUACCCCUUUGCUCCGGCAGACUUGUGCAAUCCCCAUUUAUAAAACCGGCGCAGGGGCGAGGUGAAUUUUCUGGUCUCUCCCCACCUCUAGUCCUGUGCAGGCAGUUGCGGCAAGGAUUGGUGCAGCUUUUGCGCAGUGCUUUGUGCCUGGAAUUCCGAGAAGAGCGCACGAGAGAGAAGACAGGCAUCCUGGUCUUCUUCCGAGAAAGAACAGGAGCCCUAAGAAGAAGAAACAAAUCUGAGUUUGUCCUAUAUACAAGAGUGCAGGAAAAAAAAAGUGACUCUCCUGCUUCCAAAAAAAACCAAAAAAAUCUGGCAUGUUUCACUGCAGAGACAUCAGGAUGUAUUAGAGCAUUUUUAAACAGUGUAACAAAAUGAGCCUAGGAGACUGAUUCUUUUAGUAAAAAAACAACAAAAAAAAAAAAAGAAAGAAAGAAGGAAUUAUUGUUAUUUUUUUUUUUUUCCACUAUUGCUCAUGUAGCAGUAUUUGGCACUGGGUGAAAACGUACCUUUCAUAUCAGUGAAAAAAAAAAAAAAAAAGAAAAAGGAAACUGAAGAAGUUAAUUAUACCAGAAUUCAGCGAAGGUAAUACAGUGAUCUUAAAUAUUAUUUUUUGUUAAAAUAAAGUUAAUAGCAAGAACAUGAAGCAGAUUAUCUUUAAAAGAAUUUAUUUCCUUAAAAGAGCCUAUAAAUAUAAUUUCACAGAUAUGUAUUAAACUUUUGUUAUAAUUAUUUUCUGUAGGGAAUAUUGCAGUUUGAGUAGCCUUUGUACUGUGUGUUUCCAAUGAGCUUUAGGAUGAAUUGAAAGAUCAAUACAUAAUUUGUUCUUUUGUUAUGCCUGGUGAAUAAAUAACAUAGAUGUAUUUACUAGUAUAUUACCAGUAUAUUUAUAGUACGUGUGUCUAUUUGCCAGUAUAAAACUAUAAUGCACUGACCAAUUAUUUUUGAAAUGUGGAAUAUCACUUCUAUUCACAAAAAAAAAAAAAAAAAGGAAAAUUGGAGGAGUGAUUUUAUAGCACUUAUUACAAUCAUUCAGUAAAUUACAUAUGCAGUCUGCAUACUUAUUUCUGAUAUUAGGGUAACUAUUCUAGUUUGAGUUCUUGUCUUACAUAUCUCCUCAGUGUCAGCAGAAAACAAUUAUAAAAAUAUCAUUCCUUCUGAUUGCUGAAGUGUUAUAUGUGAAGUGAAAGCAGGUUUAAAACAGAUUGUUCUAAAAAAUAAAUUAACAUUAUUUUAAAAUGGAAAGGGCUAUGUUUUGAUGUGCAAGAUUUAAUCCACUAAAUUAAAAAAAAAAAAAAAAGAAAAAAGACUAAAAGGUUAUUUGCUAAUGCUCAGAUGUCAUGACUGAACUAGAAAUGCAUGUUGCAGUCUGAAAGAAAAUGAAGCAUUGCUCUGAUUCAAGAACUUUGUUAUUGACAGCGCUCAUUCUCCUGAAAGCAUUUUUGCCCGACUAGCAAUGGCAGAAACAGGCCUUCAGUGGGAACUAGUGGGAUGCAGGCAUUGAAAUAUUAUUCAGAUACAGAUUUCAGUAAUCCACUAAAAUCAUAAAAGACUAUUCUAUACCACGUGGCUUUAAAAUUCUACCUGCUUCUUAUGCCUGUAUCUUACAAAUGCAUUUGUAGCUCUACUGUUACAAGUUUUUCAGAUGUUUCAGAUAUGAUACUUAAAGAUGCGGUGUUUAUCAAUGUUUUCAUCUAGAAUAUGUAAGUGAUAAAACUUUAUCUGUGUCUCACCUUUCUCAAAUACUAGUUAUUGCCUCAGAGGACCUGUUUUCAAUCUGUUGGGUAGGACAGCUUACAUUCAGUGUGCGAUAAUUUGUAUUGUAAUGCUUGCUGGUCACAAGAAGAAAGUAUUUGCUGUGGGAGUUAACCCUGAAGUAUUGCAAGAUUGUGUUUCUACUUUCAUUCUUAUUAUUAGGGAAUAACAUUGAUGGGAGGAUUAGUGAAUAAAAUAUACGAAUUAACUUCUUUGCUUUGAUUAAUAGGCAUCUUUUAACCAACAAGUUAUUGUCAAGCAUUACUUAAUGCCCUGUAAUGUGAAGAAAUAGCUAAGCAGUCUUUGCAAUAUUGUACGGUACCUGUACUCUAGUGUGCGUCCAUUGCUUUUCAGAUUUGGUGAAGUGAUUUUUAUUUUGGGUUGUAGUACAUGAUAUGAGCUCAGACACAAAGGACAAACCUGUAUUGUUCACUUCUAUUUCACAUCCAAUUAUGAAUUCCAGUCUUGCCUGCUAUGUGCAUGCCCUAGUCAGAUGCAAGUUGUUGGGAGUUGAGAGUUCAUCGGUAAGGCAAAGUGUGUGCAAAAGGACAUUAAUUCCUGCUGAAGACAAAACAACGUUGUGCCGUCAAUCUGUAAAAGAGGUGUUUUUUCUUUCCUUUUCAAAAACAAACUAGUUACAAGUCUUUGGCUUGUUUGGUGCAUCUGCCAUUGAAGCAGUUACAUUUGAAGUACCCUUCUUUGCAAUAGAUGGUAGUAUUUUAACUCUUAAAUACUGUUCUUACUUUGCUUCAUAUGUUUAUUUGUUUAAAGUCUUCUGCGUCUCACCGUAACAGGAAAAUGCUAAUCAACGAUGCCAAUUGGCAUAAACCCGUAGAUCCGAUCUUGUGUUGAAACGCACUGCACAAGCUCGCUUCUAUGGGUCUGUGUCAGUAUGGUGAUCUGGCAAAAGUGUAUGUAUGUAGCACACACGGCGGUGGUAUUUGACGACAAGCCUGAGGGAGUGUACAAAACUAUAUAUUGUUUUUGGAAUGCUGUCCAUUGCCUUAUCUUCAAACUUGAUUAAGUGAUUUGUUGUUUCUUGGUUGCCUUAAGCACCUGUGGCUUAAUAUUAGAAUUUACAAGGAGGUGUGAGGGAAUUGUAGGGUUUCCAAUGAAGGAUAGUAGGAUAUACCUUUUACUGGCUUUAUUAAAUAUACCAUGACAUGGUAUUACAUUCAAAAAAUGUAGGGGGAGGAAAAACAACAAAAACAACAACAAACCCCCAAAGAAAGAAUAAGAUAAUUGUAUUUUAUUUUUAUUAUAAAAUAAGACCAAAUGGUCGUUUUUUUCCAGAAAUGCAUCAUUCCUGUCAAAUACAUAUGCAUAUAUAAAUACACAUAAAACACACACGUAUAUAUCUCUAUACAUAUGUAAACAGGGUAGAACAGAUAUUCUACCUCUGCAGUAGAAAAGUCUAUCUAAGCAUAUGCCUUAUAAUCUGAAAAGUGGGUAAUAGCUGCAGUUGAAAACCUACCCCCAUGGGAAAUAUAUAGAGCCUGUGGCUGCUGUCACAUUUCAAAGAAAGGCUGAAGAAGUGAAGAAGACUUUAUGGUCACCGUCGGAAGCUGUGUGCAUCCGGGUUGAGGUAGUAGGUUGUAUGGUUUAGAGUUACACCCUGGGAGUUAACUGUACAACCUUCUAGCUUUCCUUGGAGCACACUUGAGCCAUCGAGGAAUUCAUCACCACUUUAAUCUGAUCAGGGAAAGUAUGCAAAAAGGUAUUGUGUCAUGGCUGUACAUAAUAAUCACUCUGAGGCUUUAUUGAUGUUGAAAUAGUCCUGAUUACUUGAUUAUUUCAUUUACAUCCUGUUAUGAACAAUGCUAACAUGUUCUUUUAAUGGACUGUGACUAUGUACUACAGACACUUAAGGAAAGACUGAUGAUGAUUCUAAUUCCAUUAACAAGAAAGCUUUAAAAGUUUAUUUUGAUUUAUAAAUUCAGAAAAAUAUCAAAUAUUUAAUGCUUUAUUGUUUCUUCAUAGAAAUAGCUUAUCCUAUACAGUUGUUUUUUGUUGCUGUUGCUAUACAGGUGCACAUUCUUUUUUAAAGGGAAAAGAACAAUUUUUUUUCUGUCCUUAUAGUACUUUACAAAAAAUAUUGCAUGCUGCUGCUUGCAUAAUGGCAGGCAGUGUCACAAGUUGAUACUGAUCUUCCUUGGAUUUGUGAUAUUUUUUCUUUGUUCCCCCACAACUCAGUGUUUUGAACACAGAUCCAAAUGACCUCCAGCCCCACCUGUGUUUCCACUGUGUCAUGACUCAUGUGCCACUCACCUAAUACUGCUCUGGGGUCUCGGCACCCAUGUCCUUACACAGCCUGACCCUGACCCCCAAGACCCUUGUCAGUUUUGACCCCGACUGAGACUCUGAUGAUCUUCCUAACUCAGCAGGACCAGGAGAAGGACCAUUCCCCAGUCGGAUGGUUCCCAAAGCACUGGGCGCUGCUGGUAGCGGCAGGUCCCAGCACCAGGUUCCUCCACCCGUGUGGGUCGGGUGCCACAGACAGAAUGAGCCCUCCACAACCCCUGUGUCUCCUGUACAUCUGUCAUGCUUUAUUAUUUAAAAAAAAAAAAAAAAAAAAGAAAAAAGAAAAAGAGAUGUGAUGAUGUGUACAUCCCAUGAAUAGGUAUCUUAUCAAAGAAAGAAAAAAUAUUGAGUAUUUUAAAGAAAAAAUAUUGAGUAUUUUUACAGUUUAGCCAUUUCCAGAAACAGCUAUGAAACAAGAGAGAAAAGGACUGUGGCUGUAUAUCCACCAUGAUUCAUUUAAGUGAGGCCUGCUUCUGAAAAUUACCUGAAAGAUGCAGUCUCCUCAAUGUGAUGGAAGGCAUUACAGCCAAAGUAGGAGCAUCUGGACCAGACAGUGAUGCUCAUUUCAAAAUAGUUGGGAAAAACUGAUACUGUUUCCACAUACUUUUCAAUAAAAAGUGAGAAAGAAAAGAGUUUAAUAAUUCAUAAUUAAUAAUAGUAAUAGUGAUAAUUUUGCUGGAAAAUGCUUUAAGGUUUGUUGAUACAAAGCAAAGGAGCUGGACCAUGCCCCUGUGGUGCAGUGGUUGCAGGGCUGCCACUGAUGUGGGCUGUGAAGAGGGUGAGAUGCGGUUGUUCAACACAGGAGUGGGGACUGUGGUCCCAGAGCUGCCAAGUUAAUGGCAAAUAGGUCUUUCUCCAGGGUAUUUGAAGCCCUGCAUUUCUUGAUUUACUUUUGUUGCAGGUGACCAUAACAAAAUAUUUGACAUUCCUAACGUUUAAUUGGUUUAGGUUUUACACGAGCAAGGAAAGUUAAGAAUGUUUAUUUUAAGUGGAUUUGAUGCUUCCUUGUGUUUUGGUUAUUGUUUUCCUUUCAAUUCUGCCUGUUGAAAAAAUCACUUGCUUACAGGUCCCUAUGUUUGACUUUUUCUACUUCAGCUUAAGGUUUACCUAAUUACUUUCCUAGAUAAGAAAUAAAAAAGGUGACAAAAAUGGAUUUAGUGUUUCUUUUUAAUAGCAUUUCUUUUCAGUGAUUAAUAUUUGUAAUAGGAAAUUGUUAAAGAGGAUCUGCAUGAUGGUUAGGUGGAUGUACAAUGGAUUUUAAGCUUGUGUUAAAGUGUGUGGGAGAGAGGAGGUUGAGUGAAUCAGAGCUACUCCAAGCUAAUGGAAAACGCUUAAGGGGGCAGUGACUAAAUGAGGGACUAGAGAGGAGACCUCCAUCAACUGAUGAAGCUUAACAGGGACCACUCAUAAUCUGAAUAAAAACUAUAAUAUCCUCUGUGGAUUCAAAAGGACUCUGGUUACCAGUAUGUUUUCUUCCUUUUCUAUUUUAUUUUUUUCUUUUGUAGUUUAAGACAAAUGGAAAGAAACAUUGUAAUUGCUGUUUUCUGCCAACAGAGCAACAGGUGUUCAAUCCUUUUAUAUUAAUUCUUCAAUUAGUUGCAAAAUAAGGGGGAUUGUUUAUACUAAGCUGAAACUAAUAGAAAUGACUGAUGCAGAAAAUGUGGGAAUGUUUCAUCUGUCCUUCAAAUGCAUGAUGAAUUUGUAAUUCUAUCAGGCAUAGUUGCAGGUUGCUAUGCAAAUUUCCAUUGCAGCAUCACCAGCUUUAGUGAAUAUACAUUUUCUGGUUUUCUUUCUCUGUUCUUUAAUUUAGGUUUCUUGCCCGGUAAUGUGCAAUACAUUGUUUUGGUAAGAGUUAUCAUGUUACGAGCAAAAAUAAAUGAGAUUGUGAGGUAAUUUUGAAGCGGAUUAAGGUAGAGAAUGAAAAGCAAAGGGGAGAAAAAGCUCUAUUAACAACAGCUGGAUGGAGUUAGGUCUUCCAUGAUUUCAUUUUAAAGUCAUAAAACAUAUUGUCUGUUUUAGGCACAGUCUGGCAUUUUUUAGCUUUACAGUGCAGUUGGAAUAUUAGUCAGUCAUGUAGUACCCAGCAUUAUAUUGCUAUGUUGCUUCUGUAGGAAAUACAUGCACUUUGUAACACAGCUACACAUGGAUGUGUUCCAGUCUAGGGUCCAUCAAACAGUGUUUGUUCCUAUAAGUAAACCAUAAUGUUAUCACCCUUGUGCCUCUACUUUGCUUCUUGCAGAUAGAAGAAAUAUCCGGUAGGAUAUUUUGGGACAAAUCUAGAGAUCAAAUAGAUCUGCAACUCCCAGUGGUUUCUUUGGGUGACACAGGUCCUCAGCGUUUCACAAGUUUAGUCCCAUAGAAAAACUGGCCACAGAAACGCUGACCUGCCCAGCACCCUUUUGCUUCCCACAAUUUCCUUGGUAAAGAUUAAGCAUGAUCCAAGGCCUUAACCCUGGUUCCCAACACAGAAACAGCAAAAACCCGCUUUAAUGCCAGAUCCUGUUUGUCUUAAGAGCUAAGUCACUUCAGAGAGCUGGGGAGAGUUUGGAUUUCCUUCUGCAGCCCACAGUGCCUGUAUCCAGAGGCAUGUCCAAAGAAAACAGAGUUAAAGGGAUGUUUCAGAGUUAAUAACCGUGGGUUGGAUGCACUAACAAAGCUUGGGUGUUUUGGGCCCAGUCAUUUUGAGAGCUUUCUGUGAAAUAAAGCUGCCAUUAAUCCAGUUUACCAGAGUAGGUAAAGCACAUUUUUAGUAAUUUUGUGCUGUUGAAAUAGCACAAAAGAGUCAAAAGUAUAUGAGUGAAUAUGGGUCAAUAUAGUUAAUAUGAUCUAUUUUAUGAAUAAUCCUAUAGAUCUACUUUAUAAAAGCUGGAAGUCAUUAUAGAUUUUUUCUUCUCUGUAGCUGAUGUACUUUAUGUUUUUGUCGUUCUACUUCAACAAAAUAACAUGUCGAGUUUUCCUUGGUCUCAUGGUUCAUUUAACUUCCUCUUGUCUUCAAAUAAGUUGAAGUUAUUUAGAGAUUUUUAGGUAAAGAAUGUGGUAAAAUAUUUAAAAGCAAUCCCAGAAAAGGUUCUCCUUGCAAAUCUGUCUUUUAAAAAUGACAAACAGCUCUUAGUAAUCUCUAAAACUUGUUUAUUGAAACUCUUUAGCAAGAGACCUGUGAUAGGUUGCUUAGCUGAUAAAGUUGGAAUAGAAGUGCACUUGAAAUUUUUUAGAUUUUUUGGAUGUGGUUUCAUAUGACAUUCAUUUAUCUAUUAAGAGUAGCUUCUGGUAUUUUUAAUAAAACUAAAAUUAAAUACGUCUGGCAGGCCCUGUUUAAAUGUGAAUAUUGUUUUUAUAGAACAGUUAACUACAAGAUUGAAAAGCUAAUGCCUUUGCAUUACAUAGUACAGAAGAACUAAAUCGUUUCAGCUUCGUCUUUUCUCACAUACUAAAAAUAUUUACAUCGGCAUAAUCAUUUUGGUAGAGUUUAGUUUUGUACAAGGCUACUGGAUAUUUCAGCUGUAUUUCAUUGUAAAUGAUAUCACUUCUAUGGAGAUUUCAGGCAAAUUCUUGUCUUGCUUUGUUCUUUCCAUCUCUUUUUUUUUCAUGCUACUUCUAGAAACGGUAAGAACAGGCCUUUCAUUGAUGAUCUCAUUUCAAGAAUACUUGCAAAAUCUGAAUAAAAAGUCAAAGAUCAUGCCACUCUUUAUCCAGCAUGAUGUUCUCCUCUGUUCAGAAAUACCUGGCUACUGUCCCCUUAUCCUUUCUUUUGCAAGCAUGAUCAAUAUAUUACUUGAUCUUACAGAAAAAUAAGCAUGAAUCCCAUUGUUCUCUACUGCCUUCGUUACAUCUUAUUCGAAUAGAAAGAUCUCACCGCUAAAUAACAGUAUUUUGAGGCUUUCUGACUAAUAUAUUUGUCUGGUGGAGUAAGACUGGUGCUGAUAUGCUCUAACCAUUGUACCAAGAGCCUCUAGUUAGGCUAGAUUUAUCAAAUGGUAUGUAUCUUACCAUAUUCACUUUUAAUUUCUUCAGCCCUACUGCCCAAAUAUUUCCAGGUUGUAUAUUGGAAAGAAGUAAGUUCAAACCACUUAAUUCGCAUGUUGGCCUUGUGUCUCAUCAUUGGCUGUAUAGGAAGGCAGUAUCUGAAAAUUCCCAGUAGUAGUCAGCCUGUAUUGAUUGUGGCCCACAUGAACAUGGAGAUGAGACUGGAUGCUCAAGUCCAUCUGGAGUACCACGGCUGGCAGUCUGGCUGCAGUCACAGGGAGGUUUUGGCUAAAAAUAUAUUUUUAUCUUUAGAUGGCAUUUACUCAGGAUGUGACUUGUGAAGUACAUCACUCCUGUGGUGAGAAGGCGAGUUUUGAGAGUCAUUGUUCUAGAACACUGUAAAGUAUAUUGUUAUUCUGAAAAGUUUAGCUUCUGAUAUAAGAAUUUAGAGGUGUCUUCAUUAUUAUUUCAGUUUUGAAGUAUAACUGUAUUGGAAGGGCCAAAAUGUAAAUUCAUGUGACAAGUCUAAGAACCUAACUCAUACUUAAUGUAACAUUUUGAAGUGAUCCUACCUUUUUCCCAGAAUGUCUUGAGCAUUUAGAAGCCUGCAUCCUGUUGACUUACAACGUCUGGGCAAGUUUUAAAAGAGAACCUCAGGUGAAAAGGCAUUUUUGCAGCUUUUAGACCAUAAGCUUCAUAAUGGAUGUUAACUCUAUGAACCGGUUGGUGCUGCCUCUAGGUCAUCCUUCUGUACGUGAGACACUUACCUAAACAUGGAGCACCGAUACAUCCUAAGCUGCUUUUAUGAGAAAACACCCCUCUAGUUUUUCUGCUCUUGCGGUUGUAAAGCAAGACGAUAUAAACAAUGUAGUUAGAGCCAACAUGCGCUGUUGGGCAGGGGUGACAUGGGGGCUGCGGCUGCCCCACCAGCCCACCAAGGACAGGUACACAUGGUGUUGUGCCCAAAAGAAAGGAAUCUAGUGUAGCUAUGAGUCAGGUUGGGAUUUUUUGGCUAAAAAAAGUCCAAGUAUUGGUCUAUGGAAGUAAACAUGCAGCUUGCCUAAUGAAUGCAUUAUUUAUUGGCUGUGCAAGCUACUGGAAAUACCAAAGCGGAUAAGGGCUGUGAUUCAAGGCCACGGGGCUGGGCUCACACAGCUCCCUGAGCCAGGAGCCAAGGACGUGGGAAUCCUCACCAAGGGGCAAGUCUGGAAGUCUGGAGCAAACAUCGGGCUGCGCAUAUUGUCGGGCAGGUGGAGGAUACCUUCUCAUACGUGAGCAGCGGCUGUUGUUAGUUAUUGUGUAAUUUGAUUUUACUCUAAUUUAAUGACAGUUCUUAGUGGGCAAUGUGAUUUGCAAGGCUGCUUUCCCGUUUUAUUGAUUAGUCCUUUAAUGUAUUUGAACUUGCACUCAGAAGCUUCAUCAGAGAUUUAGUGCAAGUCUGCAAAACAAGCUUGGUAAGGAAUUUUUUCACAGAACUUGAACUCAAAUGCUUCAACAAGUCAGUGAGGUGUGGUGUGAAAAUAUUUUAAGAAGGAUAAUACUUAGUUAAACUUUACUUUUUAAAUAAUGGACAGGCAAUGCUUUUCCUUCCUUUCUUCAAUAAUUUAUUUUUUCUAAACUCUCAUAAUAUCUACUCAAAGUUAAAUUAAAUAUCUAAUUUUUUGAGUUUUGUAGGAUGUGGUUUUAAAGGGAACACCUCAGACAUUAUCACUGCAAAACUUCAAUGGAAAAUAAGUAACUUGUAACUUCUGGAAAUCUAUGAUUUUAUUAAUUAGUAAGAAAUUUACCCAAUACAGAACAAGUACUGCAGAAUUAGCUACCACAGUCUCCUAGUUAUUUUCAAACUGUACGUUUUAUUCAAAGCAGAUAUUGUAAAGCAUGAAAAACAGGCUAUCCAUUUUUUAUGUCUAUCUGUGAUUCCUGAAUUAUUUAACAAAGAGCACAGAAAAAGGCACAGAGUCUUAUCUGUGUGGAAGGAAGGAAGGAAGGAAGGAAGGAAGGAAGGAAGGAAGGAAGGAAGGAAGGAAGGAAGGAAGGAAGGAAAAUUGAGAGGCAAAACCUUCAUAUUGCAAAUUAACAGAAGGCCUCAUGGGAAUAAGUUUUUGUAUUGCCUGUUCAAUUUUUCUUUCUUUUUUUUUUUUUUUUUUUUAAUGGGCUGAAAUCCCACUUUAUGUCUAAAUUAGAAGGGUGAUAAGUCUAAAGAGUGAGAGUUGAGGGUAGCAUACAUCCCAGACAUAUUGAAACCAUCUCAAAAUUAUCCCACACUCUCAAGCAUUAGGAACCCAUAGAACUCAAAGAUAAACUGAAAAUCCAUUGUGAAGGCACACAGAUAACCAUAACUCUGCCUAAUACUGACAGAGUUAGGCAAUGUAUCUAAUGAUGCUUGUUAUUUCAGUCUUGUCUAAGACAACAAACACCAAAUGAUUAUAUUAUAGCCAUAUUAUUACUGCACAGUAUCAUCAUAAGGGAGAAUUUAGCUCAUGUAGGUGCCCUUCCUUUGUUUCUGCUGAGGUUAUUUAUAUAAAUGAUAAAUAUGAAAUACUCAAAAGCCUGAAUCAGAAAGAAUAAGAAAAGCCCAACUUUUAUAUGAACUGUAAUUAAUCUGCAGCCUGUUACCACAAAACUUAAUUUAGGGAAAUUCCUAGUUAGAAUCAAGAAUGUUAAACAUCUGCGUGAAUAAGAACAGUAUGUGCAGUGGCACUAGAAGUAGCAAUAUUUCUGAUUCAAACCAUGCACUGAAGAGUUGUUGAGGUUAUAGAACUUCUUCCCUUUUAAAAUUAAGUGCUUUAUGAGAGAAUGAAGUUAUUGACUGCUGAUCACUUCCAGACACCAAACAGUCGUCCAUUGGUCCCUUCCAGAUUGUAAUAGCAGUUCCAUAUGAUGCAUAUUAAUGGAAUAUGUCAUUAAUUCCCUAAAUAUCACUAAACUGGUCAAGUCAUUAUAAGUUUCCAUCUCCGUAAAGAAAAUUUGGCUGUUUCAAAUAUUUCAACUCUAUGAAAACAUCCACAGAAUAUGGAAUCUGUUAAAACAGCAACAUCUACAGUGUAAGAUACCAAGAUCUUAGCCUUAGCUAUUUUUCUUAUUGAGAUUGGCAUAUUCACGAUUCAAAUGGAGUUUGAAUAUUUGGAUCCAGAUUCUUGUUUUGAGGAGAAUUUGUGCAUCUCUGUUAUUAUUCAUGAACAUUACUUUUUCUAUCACUCAAAAAACCAGAAAAUGCGUAUAGCUAUGGCAUGAGUUAUCAAAUAAUGUUAAUGUUAUAAUGCAUUGUCAAAAUUGGAGUUUGGUGUUAUAAGGUUGCUUACUUGUUAAGUUAAAUGGCUAAACAGCAAAACAGGCUCUUGCUACGGUUAUGAAAUGUAAUUCUUUUCUUUGCCUUGAUCUUCAUGAAAGGUAUCCUCAAAGCUUUUGUUUUACACAAAGAGAAGCAUUAACAUAGAGUUGAUCAUAUUUAUAGGCAGUUUUGAGACGGAAAAUACAAAUAUUUAAAAAUAAUAUUUUCUUUUAAGAUACAAUCCUAAUGUACCAGACACUAAUUUAUCAUCGGAGGGAAUUACAGCUAUUUUACAAUAUUGAUAAAAUUGUGUUGGAAGAUUCUAUUGACUAGUCUGACCAUUAUCAAUUGUUUCUCUUCAUUCCAUGUAAUGGAACUGUACUUAAAUCAGCCAACCCCCAACUUAUAGUUGAUUUCUGUUUAUGCAUUUUAUACACUGCAUCUCUUAAACAAAGUUAUCUCUUAAACAAAGAUUCCCGCCUGGACACAUUCCUGUGUAACUUCAUCUAGAUAUUCCUGCUCCAGCAGGGGGACUGGGUUAGAUGAUCUUUCGAGGUCCCUUCCAAUCCCUAACAUUCUGUGAUUCUGUGAAAUGUGAUGUUACAUUUUUAAGGCUUAAGAUUACAUUUCUUACUGACUGAAGUCUGAGUGAAGGCUUACUUCAGUACUGGUGUUAAUGAAAACAGAAUCUGUACAUAAAAAAAGUAAGUAUUCACUAAUGUAAGUCUAUAUUUCAAGGAAUAUAUGGGAAACUAGGAAAUACUGAACAAGUCAAAUUCUGUAAAAUAUAUUAGAUGCAUUAGUUUUAUUAAUGUGAUUUUUCACUGACAGCUCCACAGUUAAUACAAGCAAACUUGACUUUUCAUUUCAAAUUAGAGUGGAUCCAAAUGCCUAAAAAAUACCAAACCUGCCUAUAAAAAAUAAAUAAAGUCCUUAAUGAAAUAGAUUAAAAUAUUCAAAUAAAAUUCUGGCCCAAUCGUCAUUUAUCAGUAGUGUCCAUAGCAUGGUACUUGAAAUACUGGAAAUGUAACUAUCUUUGUUAAAUGCAAUAGAAUUUGAAAAUACUGGCUCUUCUAAAAACUCCUAUAUGGCCUCAGAGGACAUUAGCAGCGUUAAAACUGCUUUAAACUUUAAACCUGUGGAUAUAAGUCAAUGUGUGACUGUAUUUGAUAAAUACUUAGGAAUAUUCUUUGGUGAGAGCCUGUACAUUCAAUUUAAUACUGUGGAACACAAAGUUGCCAGAACAUUACCUAGUAUCUGCUUUUUUCCCCCAACCUUUGUCUCCAUAUAUUCAUCUUGAAGAUCUGUUACAGAAUCUAAAAAAAAAAAGCAAACAAACAAACAAACAAACAAAACAAAACAACCAGAAUGGUGGUAAGACAUGUAACUUUAAAGGGUUUAUUUCUUUUUCUAUGUUGGUUACAAGGAGGCUAAUUCAUGUAAUUAAUAUUAUAGUUUAGAAUAUUAAUGUUUCUUAGGAAUUAAAGCUGUUUAACAAAAAACUAUUUAUUUGUUCCCAUGUGAAAUUUUCAUGAAUGUAGUUUCACCAGUUCAUUAUUUUAUUAUUUUAUUAAUUAUUUUAUUUCUUCAUCUAUACUCAAGGAAGAGCAAGGCAAAUGAUAAAUGAUUGAGGAAACAUGAUAGAGUUAUUGUUCCUUCUUAAGUUUUAAGAGCUUUUUUUAUAAACUUAGAGCCAGUAGUUCACCCAGCUUCCAGAUGACAGUUCUGUGCUACAGGGAAAUAGUCAUGUGAUCACUAAAUAAAGACCACUACAGAGGAUGCAUUAAACUAUAUGAAGUGUACAAAUGAAGUCCUAACAAAGUCAAGUUCUUUCAGGGGCAAAAUAAUUUUUUUAAUUAAGAGAAAUUUGCCUUGUUGCUAGAAGUAGGAAUGGUCAAUGCCAAAGGACAAAUUGAUCAUUAAUGACCAUCUAUUAGACAAUAUCUGACUCAGUAAUCCUAAAAAUCCUUAUACUUACAUGUCUUAGCAUCUUCUGAAUAACAUAAUCCAAUAAGUGUAAUUAUUAGUGUUCAUUUGAAACUUCACAACAAUAGUUCAAAGUCAAUCAGCAAAAGAUCAUGAAGAAAAAGUGAAUAAUUAUAAAAUGUAAAGCAUAAUGUAAAUUUUUUAAUAAUUUUUCACCAAAUGAUGUUUGGAGAAUAGCUGUCUGAACAGUUGUCUUUUUGCUAACCUUUAUAAUUUGUUGGAUGAAAUCUGUUUUCUGAAGAUAACUCAGGUUUACGUAGAGCAGUUCAAUGGUAUCUGCUUAAAAAUAUUACUAUCAUCAGUAUAUGGAAGAAAGGUAAAACUAUUCCCUACCAGGACUACAACUCACAGCAUUAUGAAAAAUUCACUGGACAUUUUAGAAGAAUAAGUGGAGUAUACCAUUAAGCAAGAUGUAUGUAAGUGUAAGGCUUUGCUAGUAUAUUCAUCAAACAUUAGGGAAUAGUCAAAAAAACCACAGAAAUACACACAUUUUCAGGAGUCUGUCAUCUUCCCUGUUAACCUUACUGGGGUCUUUAAAAGAGCAUUUUUACUCAGGAAACCAUUCAGAUUUGUUAUUCUGAAAGCAAAUGUCCAUAUGUCUUUCUUCCUUUAUACACCUCUAUUUAAUACCUUUCCACAGUCAGAUUCUAACAAAUAGGAUAUACCAAGGCUUCUAACACCGUUUUGUGACAUGACAUCCAUGGUGGAAAGCAGGAGCUCUGGACAAUUAAAUGUUUUGUUCAAGCUCAUGCUAGAUACCAUUAUUGUCAUUGGGAUCAAGCUUUCUAAUUUGCCAAGCUGAUGGCUAGUCCAGUAUAUUUCAGGAAGUUCUUUCUGGGCAGUAUGUUAAAGGUCCGGCCUCUGUGCUCUAAAUUAAAAAAACACCAUCUCACAGGUUGAAGGCUGAGUAUCACACUAGAAGGUGUUUUCUUUAUCAGUGUGAUGUUCUCACAUUGUAUUUUGUAAUGUAGUAAUUACACAGUUUGCCCCACAGUUCUUCUUGAAAUUAAUGCAUAUCUUGUAUUUAAUAAUAACAUAGGUUUGAUAAUACUAUUUCAUUGUCAUAAAUAUUAAAAGCUACAUAAUGUAUGCACAUAUAAAUACUGCAGUAAUGAAGGCCCUUUAAAUAAACAGCACUGAUUCAGAUUCAAGUGCUGAGGCUCAAUGGAUCCUGGAAGUAAAACUGACUCUACAAAUAAAACAAAAAUCUCCUUUGUUGAUCUUCGUUGUCUAAGAGGAGGGGAAUGUACAAGGACGACAAACAGUGAUGGAAAAGUUCAAACUUUUUCCUAUAAUUUUUUCUGCAGCAUUGACUUUCUAUUACGGAAGGUGAAGAAGCACCCUUGCCAAUGGUGCAUAACCUCACCUGUUCUUGAUCCUCACCUUUGUCCUGGCCCCUUUUCUAUGGCAAGGGCCACCAGAGCUGCCAGACAUGGCCCUGAAAGCCCAGGUCCACCUGGAGAAGAGGUCUCUUGUGGCAGGAAGUGAGGAAAUGACCACUGGGCUGUUUUCCAGGUGAGACCUCGGGAGGGCCGGUUCUCUGAGCCAGCCAGGACACAGCUGGGGGAACCCCAGCCAGCCCUGCCCUGGGAGCUGCCAGCCACUAUUGGAGCUCAUGAGCAGCUGAGCUCUCCCUGCCAGGACCAAGGCAGCCUCAAAGAGACGACUGAAUUGUGUGAGGAGAUGCACAGCAGCCUGGGAUAAAGAGGGCUCAAAAUUGGCUUAAAUCCAUUUUACUCCCACAUGCUGCAACAUGUGAAUUGUAUGUUCUGCACCUUAGAAAUGACAAAUUUAAAGUGUCUGUGUGAAGCAGUGUUCUCUUAACUCUUUAAAGUCUGUGGCAAAAGGCUACAUAAUCUCAAAUUGCAAUAUUGAGACAUGAAUUUCAAGAAUCCCACAAUUCUGGGAGCAAUGUUUGGCAUGAGUGGGAAAGGGUUCAACUGUAAAAUUUACAGUUUGAGAAUGUAAAAGUAGAAGAUCAGAAGGGUUAAAAUCCAAAAGGGUCUAGGUCUGUGGAUCUUGAUUCUGCUUGGAGUUGCUUAGUUGCUUUGCUGGUUGUAUGUGGAUACUAAUUUAAUUAAAAGAUAUCAAUCUCUGUUGUCUGUGAAAGGGACAGUAUUGCUCAGUUCUUGCACUAAGCAAAAUUACUUUGGGGAAAAUGCGACAAAAUAUAUAAGCAUUUCGUAUGUAGAUGAGACCAUGUUUUAGCUUCUGUACUGACAAAUUAAAUAGUAGCAAUUCUUCAAUACUGAAGAAUUGAAUAGUACUGUGACAAGUUUUUGGAAAAUUGUUUCAGAUUAUUCCAGUGCAGUAUAUUUCUGGGUAAUAGAAAGCGUCUGGGAAUUAGGGGAUGUUCUAUUUAGAGUAAGACGGUAAAAUGCUGGCACACAUGUGGUAGUUACCAGGGCUUUUUCUGCAAAAGACAUUCAUUUCUCGGUAUUCUAUUAAAAACAAAAAAGAAAAAAGAAAAAAAAAAAGAAUCAGCCAACAUAAUUUUUGGACUUCAAAAAGCUUUCUCCACAGGAGCAGCUGUUAAGGAAGCUAAGUAGUCACGGAGGGAGUGGGAAAUCCUCAUCAUGGGGUAGAAAUGGCUAGAUACAGAAUCUAAAGUAAAAAUAUCUAGUCAUCCUUUACCAGGGCUGAAAGAUUACAGUGGGUUGCUCCAUUGUUUCACACUGUGAUGGUUGUUACUUAACAAUUGUAUUAAUGAUUUGGAAAGAAAGAGAGUGAGAUUGCAACAUCUGCAAAUGGCACAAUUAGCUGGGUUACUCAAGUCCAAAACACACUUCAGGAGGGAACCCUCAGAACUACAGCAGUAGAUGAAACAAUGUCAAAUGAAGUUCAGCAGUGAUGUAUGAAAGCUAGCAGGCAUUGAAAGAAGUAAUCUGAACUAUUUAUGACCUCUGUUGGGUUCUAAAUGGAUUUAAAAAUACCAGGAAGGGAAAUCAAGUCUUUGUGGACAACUCAAUAAAACCUAUGAUCUCUUUUAAGGUUUCAAUGGCCUUUCCCCUCCCCUUAUAAAUCCUCCAAAUAAAACAAUCUCCUCACCACAAAACAAGAAGCAAUGGCAACAAGAUCCUGUCUAUGUGCUAUUAAUCUACAUACAGCACAGAUAAUGGCACAUAAUGCAGCAUCUUCUCUUAUUCUGACUACUGUGAUAGAGAAAAAAUGAACAAAAGGAGAGAAGAAAAUAUAUUUCCAAAUGAAUAUGUCGUGUCUCCUUGCAAAGUGCAACAGUAAGUGAAGAUUCAGUGGAAGUGAGGAGAUGCAAAUUCGUCAUCUGUAAAAGGAAUAUAUUUCUUCAUUAAGUAAAUAUCUAAAUGAUAGUCACUGCAAGAAGGAUCCAAACUUGUAGGCACUUUUGUUUGGGAGGGCAAUUUAGAUGUGUACAGCCAAACUGAAAUCAAAGUGAAUGUAGGAUCUACCAUUACAGGGUUCUGAGUAUCCCAUUCAGAUUCUUCUUCUGACUCAGAAAUCCAGAUGGGCAAUGUAUCAGUGAAGAUCUCAGCUGAGUCCUUCUAGCCUUCUGUUCCCUCUAUGGUGCAAGAUUUACUCUGCCUGUGCCACUGUUGAAACAGCUGGGGGAUUUCUGUGGAUAGCCCUUGUUCCUUGCUUAUAUUUUAGUUAUUACUUAGAACAGCUAAGGUUUACAGAGUUACACCUGUAGCUAGCCAGACUGUUGCUCUUCUCCAUCUGCUAGGCACAUGCUACAUGUGUGUCCUUACAGCUUGAAGGUAAGGAUAAUAGUAAAUCAUAUAUGCUAUAAACAAAUGAACUACACAGUUGUGCAAGAAAUUCACAAGUCUUACCAUGAACAGUCACACAGUCACAGCAGAGAUCUCUACACAGUGCACCUCCAAGUGGAAUACAGGAGAGCACAAUACGGAAAAUGUAAAAUUAGCAUUUUUCUUUUUAAUAUUAUGUAUGAAUGAUAGAAAUAGAUUUUAAGUAGAAAAGUGCAUCAUGCAGUUGCUCAAACAACCUUACUUUCCAAAAUAUUUGAAAAAGAGUGGAUUUGUGGAAAUUCUUUAAUAGAUGUUCGUUAAGAUGGCCAUGGUUCAGUCCCUUGAUAGAAAUUAGUUUGAACUUGGUAUAGGUGGAACAUGCUCACAUAUGUCUAUUGUUCAGCAUAAAGAAAAAGUCCAGAUUUUGCCUAAACUUUACAUUGCUGCCAGGCUAUUCCAUACUACAAUUACAGCAAAGAAUGUCAGAAAAACCCCAAACCAAAUAAGUCACUUGAAACCUUGUAACAGUUGCUCUUAACUCUAAUGCAAAUCCAUGCACCAUUCUACUCUUUGCUUUCUUUGCUUCUUUAUGGAAGUUGUGUCUUGCCCUAGGUCCUUUCAUAUACUUGCAAACAGCCUCUAAAUUCCUAAAUUCCCUGUUUUCAGGAUUAUUUUUUUUCGUAAUUCUUUUGUCAUUAAAUAGUCCUCUUAAUCCCUAAAUACUUCCUCUUCUCUUUUACAUUUUGCAAUAUUUUCAUAUCCUCAUAAGAACCUAUAUUCGCUGCAUGGGAAGGUAGCAGAAUUCUCACUGUGAUGUUGCUAUUGCUAUCUCCUUUCAAUGCCUAUCAAGAGAGGCGAGACUCUAUAUUCCCUUGUACUGCUGCCAUGCUCUGGAGUCCCUUCUCUCUAUUGAGUCUUACCACUGAUGUGGUUCUUUGACUUCCUUAUUUUUACGUGAAAGUACAAAAUCUAGAGGUGAAAAUGAUCCAUUAUGAUUACUGAACCCCUGAAGGAUUAGUCCAUGCUCAUGUUUAGUGUAAGCUAGUUUUGUAGAAGUUAGCCAUUAUCCUGAAAUAAUGUUUCAUUGUGGAAAAUAAUUCCUUGUUACACAAAUAGAAAUUCUUAUUCUGAUUUGCAUCGCACUUCUCCUACGUAUGACUCUGUAUAGAAAAAAAUUGCACUUCUCCUGUGGAGAUAAUGCCCAACAAAUACUUGUAGGCUGUUGUUGUGCAAGUACUUAAAAAAUGUACCUCUCUUGACAGUUCUCUCCAGAUUGUCAAAGUGUUUCUGGCCAGAAUGGGAUGAGCUGGUGAAAGUUCAUUUGGCUGGUACAUCUCAUUUUAGGGUGCUUUUGGCUAUACCUCAGUAGCCAUGGCAAAUGAGAAAAUAUUCUCUUACAAUUUGUUUGUAUAUGGGUUACCUCAACAAACCAAAGUUUUAUAGAAAAAAAAUAUGUAGUGCAAGCUUUCUGGCCCAAGACUUCCUGAGAAUGCUAUGCAGUACUUUACUAUUAUGUUAAAAUGGAGGUACAAAUGUUUUUUUUUAACCUAUGAUCUCUCCUUCAGCAUUGCCUUUUCCAUGUAUUUUCUGGAUCCAGACUAUGUGGUGCAGGUUAUUAUCCACAAAAUGUAAAUUAACUUAAUUGUAAUCCAAAAUUAAGUUCAAAUAUUCUUUAUCUGCAGGUAGACAUGUUCAGAACAUGUUUGUAUACCCUAACAUGAAGUAGAAUUGUGACAUUCAGGACCCCAUCAAUUAAUUUACUUUGUGUUAAUUCCUGGUCAGUGUUGUGUCUUCCCCAUUUAGUCUGUUAAGUGCAUACUGGUAUUGCUCACCAGGCUGGCACUGAUACCUAUCAGUCUGCUUUUCCCACUGAUCUCCUUUCAAAGCCAUUAAGAGCAUGGCGGUCAUUUAUGCAUUGAUUGAAUCAAAUUCAUUUAAAUGCAGACUGCUUGUGUACACAGUUAAAUUCAGAAAACAGGUUUUGUAUGACUAAGACACUUCAAAAUUUUAAUUUCAUAUAUGGUCUGCAUAUGCCCACUUAAAAAAUUACUAGUUACAGUCACUUAAAAUAUUACCAAUUUAACUCAACUUGAUUAAUCUGUGAAAAAAAAGAAGGAUGUUUUUAUUUCCAUGCUUCCUCUGACAGUCUUCAUUCUAAUUAUUUCAAUGCUGAUUUUAAGACAGGACUGCUUUAGAAUAACGAUACAAUUCAUUAAUCUUAUAUUAAGGAUACCACAACGUCUCUUUUCGCUAACCUGCAGUGGUCCUCAGUAAAAGUCAGCAUUUAUCUAUGCUUGCCGUGCUUGAUUGUCAACUCCAGUACUGCUAUUUCCUACUGUGGAUAAAGGGAAAUAGCACUGAUGUUCAAUGUCAAUUUGGGUAAAUUCUGACUGUAGCCCUGAAAUAGAGGAGUGAGACCUUAAUGAAUGACAUGACUGGGUUUGAACAGAUCAGUCCUUUGCUUGAGAUCACUUUAGCUGAUUUAUUUGAAGUGAAAGGGUGGUCUGUGAAAGAGAUGUUAUUGCUCCAUCAAGCUAUUUUAUCCCUUUGGGGAAUAAGUUGAAAUGUAAAUAGGUACUGCGGAUUUUACUCCCACACCUAUUAAUGUUAUAUUUGAAACUUUUACAAAUCAAAAGAAAAAUCCUGCCUUCAGAUUAGACAAUGAGGAGGAACUUAGAGUGAGAGGAUUCUGGGACACCCUAUCACGGGCACUAGUAAUCAUUCCAAGACUCUAGAUGAACAAAUGUGGAGUGUCACCUGAUACUUUGUGGUCCCUCCUUACUGUUUAAAUGGUAUAAAAAUAGUAAGAAAUUAUAUUAAUAAUGAACUUAUAAUCUGUGAAAACAUGAGUAUGAAUAUUAUGACAAUUACAGAAGUAGUUUUCCCUGGGAAUAAGGGGAAACUGUGUGUUAAACUGAAUGUCUGGUAUUUAAAAUAGAAAGCUGCUGCCACGAGGUCACUAGCUAAAGUUGUGACAGGAGUGCAGAAGACAAUUUUUAAACAAUUGAAAUCUGUCUGAAUUGAUGGAAAAGUAGAAGUUACAAGCCUGUCCUCAUGUAUCAUUUGCUUCAUGCUUUCUGAUACUACUCACUGAAUAAUGAAGAUGCUUGUUGACUCAUUUGCUGAAUUUUAAGAAUGAAGCAAGUGUAAUGGCACUGUUUGGCAGGCUGAAAAAAUUCUGUGUUUCAAUAUGCUUUUGAAAACUUCUAGUAUCAUCAAGGCUCUAUAGUGCCCUUUUUCUAUGGUGGGUGUAGCAAAGCAGUCUACCACUUCUGCGUUGGACCAAACCACUUUAUAAAUCUGGGGACUUACACAUUUGGCUAGAUCAGAGUUUGUUUGCAACACAGAAAGGCCUGCAAUUACCUAACUAAAAUCCACAGAAAAUUUUGGUAAUUAAUUUUUCAAAUAACUGUGUUUAUGUUGUCUGUACCUUGUACAGAGGCUUAAUGUUUCUGUCUAAUAAAGGAAAAAAAUCUAUAAGAAUCUCUCAGUUGCCUGGUUAUGGCUUUACAAAGAACUUUAAUCCUCCGGUGGUGUAAUACAGUAGUAUAUUUGCUUAGCUUCUUGUAUAUUUUAUUAAUGGAAUAAUUCUCUCUUUAGAAUAGUCAGUUAUGUCUUUUAUGGCAUGCAAAGUAUAAUAGUUUUUAACUAUGUUUUGUCAGAUUUACCUACAGAAAGUAUCAUCAGAUUGGCUUUCUGAACUUCCCAGAUGUAGUUGAAAUACCUGAUUUUGUCAUUAGAAGUUGUGUUUAUAGCUUUUCCCUCUUUGCAAAGCUCCCAGGAUGGAUCCCAAAGGAUCCAAGGAUGGUAAGAGAAAACAAAAGUAAUUAUUAAAAAAACAUUUUACUGUUGGCUAGCUGUUAUUGUUGUUGGGUUUUGUUGGCUUUAUUUCUUUAUCCUCUGGGGUACUUGCACUUAGCAAACUUCAGGGGCUGACUGUACAAAGUGGUUCACAUAUUGGUAACAAGAGAUUCCUUGCAACCGAGAAUUUAUAUUCAAAGACAGUGUGGCUACCACUGCUCAUGUUGUACAUAGAAUGGAAUUUGACCUUCAUGAAACAACUGCAAAGAGCCUUUGAAAUCACUGCAAUAAUAUUAUUGGAAAACAAAGAGGAGCUGGAAAACAGUGACAUUUUAGUGAAUAUAGAACAGCAUGUAAUACCGUUACCUGUUUUGUGUACCCUCUGUCCUCCAUCAUUUCCCAAAAAUAUGUUACUACAUUUCUGUGCUGUUUCAUUUUUCCCACCUGGCACCUCCCUUAGUAAUAUCCAACCCAGGUCUCUUUCCUUAUAGCCACCUCAUAGUCUUUUGUUAGAGGGCUUAUCUGUGGCUAUCUAAUUUGAAGAAAAGCCUCUGGCAUCCAUUAAAUGUAUUGUUGAAGACAGGGUGCUGAGUGAGGAGACCCUUGGAUCGAGCCCAUUAUGGUCAUUUUUAUGCUAUAUCAUGGACUAAAACUAAAACUAAAACUAAAACUCCUGCUAUUGCUGGUUAUCCUACAGGCAUCUCUCCUACUGGCAUGGAAGCAUAUUGUUUAAAGUGUAGUGCAGCUUCCACUUCUUCAUGGAGAAAACCAGUGUAUUAAGAAUUUACUCAAUUUCCUUGUGUUGCCAUCCUAAGCUGCAGUUUUAGACCCUGGAAGGGCAAGGCCAAGGCUCGUACAGCAGGAUUUCGCACAGGAAACCGUGCCUUUCAAGGUGCCAUUGCAACCUAAUAAUGAAUGAUGAAGAAAAGAUGCCUUUAUUCUGAUACCUGCAUCUCCUCAGGUCCAUGCUGAAGGGCAGAUCCCCUCUAUGAUGUGCAAAUGAAGUGCUUUAAGCUAACACUUUACGUCAAAUUUACUUUAUUAAAAAGGAAGUUAAGUUCUGGGGGCUAUUGCAGCAGUAAAUUAAUGUGGCUUUGGGAAGGUUUUUUUCCGCAUGUGCAAUAAUUCUUUAAGCUGCCCAGUUGCUCGCAUUGCUGGUCUCUUUCAGGCAGCUGGUGGUCUGUCGCAUGUGCGUGUCACAUGGAGUUCUGAUGUGCUUGCAGAUACUGUGAUCCCCAGAGAGGCGUGGUCCUUUUUGGGCUGAAAUGCUCGGUCAUUGUGAUGAGAUGUUCUGCUUAGGAAUUCAGGGCACAACGUAGACCUAGCUGUGGAUCAUGCCAUUCCCCCUUCUUUUUUUUUGCAUAAGUAGGGGAUGUGAUAUGUUUCACAAUGAAAUGCUUCGUCUUAUGUUGUUGCUCUCAGAUUGCACGUGUGAGAACACAGCAUCUCGAACAUGAUUUACAAACACGGAUCCAGUGUCUGAUGGCACUUUAUUUGCGAAGGAAAAGGCAUAUGUUUGCCUCGUGGUGUGUGCCUGUAGAUCAAAAUACAAUGAAAAGUGCACUGACUACAUCAAUGAUAGGCAUGUUACUUACAAAAAAAAAAAAAGGCAUAAUACUGGGUGUUGUAUGGAGAUAACAUACAAUUUAUUGAUUCUAUGGUUUCUGACUAUAGUGCACUUUAUGAAAAUCCUAAGCCUGUCUUAUUUUAUGUUUGUAAAUAAUUGACUGAGAACGUUGUUCUAAAUUGGAUAAGUGGAAUGAGAUACAUGCAAGGAGAAGGUUGUACAAGUAAUUAUAUGUGUGCGGUACAUUUAAGCCCUAUUUGGCAAAGUUCAAAUUACUUCUUCAUAGUGUCUGAAAAUCAGAGAUCUAAUUUUGGUUUUAAAUCUGUUGUCACAGCUAUCCUUAGCUCUGCAGUAAUUUGCAUUUCAAGCGUACUAGAAUCUCUGAGCACCUCCUUUGUGUGUUGUAUAAUUACUGUUAAUACCUGAUUUCACAGUUAUUUAUAGCCUUGAUGUAUUACUUGACUGUUGCUAAUAUCUCAUUUACUAUUCUGACCACCUUGAACAGCCUUCUACAUGAUACUUCCUGGAGUGUCGAGUCUUUUAUCCUCUGGAUGUAUCUUCUAAUUUCUCUCUGGCUGUAAUACAGUCUCAUAUAUUUGCUACAGACAGUAUUUUUAGUUUUGUAUUGCAGGGUUCAAUGUGGAUGCCAGGGAGUGUAGUAAGGCUAGUGCACAGACAGAAGAUGGUGACCCUUAGUGUCCUAAAGAGGUGACUUUAAGUGACCACAGUUCACACAGCUUCCGGUUUCAACUAAGUGUAGGGCCAUUUGCAUUCUGCUAAACUCAGGGUGCCACUGAAAGGAGAACUCCACCCUCUUGCCAGUGGCACUUAUUUCCACCUGGCUUUUUGUGCUGGCACUUAGUUUACGUGGCUGCUUAACGAGCCACAUUGAGGAUUGAUCCAGCUGCAAACUAAUCUUGUAUUUCUUCUGAUUUGCUUUUGGGGUCACUUCCCUAUUCUGCUUUACGAUGCAGCUGUAAGAUGCAAGUGUCAGCACAAACAAGGUGGAGAAACAAAUGACUGAGGUCAGAAGGGAGGGCAGAAAGGACCACCUUUUUCAGUAUAUAUCCUGAUUUAUGCUGCAGGUUGAAGGUCCUGAGUUACACAGUCACUGAAAACUUGCAAAAGGGAAUUGCUGCCUUGCACAGGAACAAGAGUCUGCCAAAAAGGUGAUUGACAACAUCACUGAACUUUAAAUGGCAGCAGCUUCUGGCUCCCUGUUCGGUCUCUGUUGACAAGCUUUGUCCUCCAUAGGGCAGAUGUAUGUGAAGUGUGAUACCCCAGCCCUAGAAAGUUGUUCAAUCCUUUUGCAGUGUACCCCGUGGUACAGGGUACAUAAAGGGCUCUCUGCAAUUUAAACUGGUGUAACUAAAUAUCUCAUAGAAGAUAAGCAUAAUUACCCAAACCCCUAGGUAGAAGCACCCAUAAGAUUUGCCAAACUAAAAUUCAGAUAAUUGGAAGAUCUGGCUUAGCACAUUCUGAAAUUGGCAUGUCAGGUCUAAAAAUCUCUGAUUCAGUCUUUCUAGCUCGGUCAUUUGGAUUUCCAGUUGGGAGAUUCAUUCAGCAGGGCUUAGGUAUUAAACCAGAUAUAUAAAACCCACCAAAGCCUUUGCCUCAGGGGCUGCCAUGGGAGUUACAUUCCUGGAUAAAUCAGAGUACCAUCUGUACUGCCAACUGCGAUGUGAGAGAGUUAAGCAAGGUUUUCUAAGCAACCAAAAACACCUAACGAAUAUAGGUAAUACCUCUCUCAAGGCUACUUUAACUUUUCCUAGACUCUCCCAGGCCUCUGAAAGGUAUAUUUCAGAUUGUGACUCAAAGUUACCCAGAUCUAACUUAACUGAAAACCUAGGCAGGCGGUCAGGCAAUGUGAAAUAAUGGGCCAUGGGUGAUGUCUGAAUUGGAUAAUAAAUCCUAACCUGUUUAUUAAAAAUGGAACCAGAUAGUUUUGACAAGGCAGAGUCUGAACUAGAUAGGGCUAUUGGUGAGAAAGCAAAACAACUGUGGUGAAUGGAUGGUAAAUGAAGUUUGUAGCAUUUAAUUGUGCCAAUGAUUUUGGAAAAGUUGAUCACAGGAGGCACUACAGAAGCUCAGUCAUUGGGCAGUGGCAGAUUAUGUUCUGUCAAAAUUGACUCCGUUUUGUGAUACUUACAUUAAUUAUCAGGCAAAACCUCAACCACAGGUAAGAGUAAAUACACAUCAGGAAAUGAAGGGGGAAAGCUUUCCAGAAACAUUGUAAUUAAGUGCAAACUAGAUACUUUUAAUUUUAGAAUGUUUACAUAAAUCUAUACAUGUUAAUGGACAGAAAUGCAUGUCUAAAUACCCUCAAGUUUGCCCUGGAGUGAUGUAGUAAUUACCUGGUUAUGACUUGUGCAUGUUAAUUUUUGCAGAUGAUUUAUCUGGUUUAUCUGGCUUUUAAAGACGUGAUAUUUUCCUUUUUUUUUUUACUUUUUUAAAUGCUCCUAUUUUCACAACAGAGCACAGAUAGCAUAUUUAACAGUGCAGUCCUAUAAUUAUGAGUGAAGGGGGAAGCACAGGCAAGAGUAGACAACAAGAAGCAAGAGCUGAAGGUGAGGUAGCUACCCAGUUAAUCUGUGAGGGAGGAGAUUACGGGCAACAGCACGAAGCCAGUGCAGAGAUGUGGCCAGAGUGGCAAGCAGAAAGGACACUGUCAUCCGCAUAGCUAUAGCCCUGAACGGCUUCCUGAAGAGCAUUGAGUUUUCUAUGCCAGAUUCUGCUCCAGUGGCUAGGACCUUUAUGGCUGCUGUUUCUUUUGCUCUGGGCUCAGAUGAAGGAAAAAAAUAAAAAAAAAAAAGCCACGGUGGAUCCCGUCCCUAAAGCAGAAAUUUUCUUUUUCGUUCUGCAAACAAGGCUAAAGAUCGGAGGAGAAUGAAUGCAAAAGUAAUUCAGGAUUGUGGUCGUGCCAUUAAAAUGUUCGGCUUCAGAGCGAAAUUAUUCAGGGAAUCUGAGCAUUUCUUCUUACUGUAUCGACAGUAUUUGAAAGUUAUGUGUGCUUUGAGUAAUCUGGUUCAAGUGACAACCAGCUCUGCAUGGCAAUGUUUUCUACAGCUUAUGAAGCGAAAGCCAGUUUUGCCAUUGGAAAGGAAGAGGCUUUUGCUAGAAGUCUGUAGAAGGAUUAAAUGUUGAACGUGGGGAAGAGGCAAAAAGUGAAUACACGCCCAAAGGUUAUCCUGGCAUCGUGAAUGGGUUUAAAGUACUCUGUAACCCAGGGCCCACCUGAACUGUAGGACUAAAAGUAUAAUGGGGAAAGAUUUCAAUUAGAAACCCCUUAACAAGCAUUUAAUCCUUCUUCAGGCAUUAAGGGAACUCGACUAAAAUUGUUACUGUACAAAUCUGCUGGAAGCAGAAUUUAACCCAUUUUUAGAUGCUUCCCUCUGAUGCAGUAUAAUAUGGCUACUUGCAAGACGAGGCAGUGAAGAUUUUUUUCCUGUGUUCUCUGGUUUUUCUUUUCAAAAGUUAAGGAUGAUACUCUAAGAAAAGUCUGUUCAGUCAGCUGAUACAUUGUUCGAAUGUAUGUAUGUGUCUUGCCUGCUUAUUUGAUCUUUUCUGCCCCCUACUUGAAACUGUAGUUUGUUUAUUUGGGGGGAAGGAGGGCUUGUUGAUUUGGGGGGUUACAUUGUUUUUUGGGUUUGUUUGGGUUUUGUUUUCUCUUUUUUUUUCUUUCUUUUUUUUUUAACAAUAGCAGUGAAAGUUUUACUGACAGCGAUUAUGACUACUAAGCAGUUCAGUUUAUUGGAAGACGAAUUCUACUGGAUCAUAUCGGACUUUUCCUAGUCCCUGAGACCCUAACUUGUGAGGUUUUUUAGCAACAAUCACAAGUCAGGCUCUUGGGACCUAGGCGGAGGGGAACCAGCAGCUUUGGACUGUGAUUGUUUCUCUGCAGAAUUUAGAAAACCAAAGGAACUUUCCUUGUCUGGAAGGGAAAAAAAGGAAAAUAUACCUAAUAAACAAACAAAUAAAACCUGUUAUCCAUUGUGCAACAUUAGGAUGUUAAGUAUUUGUAUGUUUAGAAAACUGGACUAGGUGCCAUGUAACACUGAGAAUUACAAUUUAAACUGAAUGCCAGUUUGCACCUCUAAAAAAAAAACCCAAACACAACUCAAACUCAAAACAGAUACUAAAAUAUACAAAAGGUUUUAAAUGAUAAUAAUAAUAGUAUUAUAGGCAAUUCUGAUAAUUACCACAAAGUAUGUUUUCAGCUGUAUUGUUACAGUAUUAAGUUUUAAAACAUAAAGCAUAAACACUGCUGUUUGAGGCCUAGAAAACAUUCAUUCUAUUGUUGUUUGAAUAAUGAUUUCAGUCUACAGGAAAACUGUUGCUUAGCUUUUCCUGUAAUACGGGACAAAGAUUAUUUUGUAGUUAGUUGCCAUCAUUUUUCUUUGUCUAAGUGAGAACACAAUACGCAUUUAAAAUAUUCUCCCAUGGAAUUUACAUUUUAAUCUGAUAGAAAAUAUGGGUGUAAAAAUCAUAUUACAGAGUUUGAAUCAGUUUGCACACAAAAUCACAUUUCUUGUACAUGUUCAAUUUAAACUGAGUCGGCAAUCCUCUAAGCACCGGACUCAACUUGCAGCCUCUCCAUCUCUUUUUGCAUUUUCUUCAUCUCUAACAAAAACACAGUGUGCUUUAGGUUGUCCCUUGUGUUAAGUACUUCCCUGACUUUGCAUAGAAAGAUUCACAAGCACACAAGUGAUUCUGCACUGUUCAUUAGACUUGAACUUCUGAUCUACAACACAUAAUUUUAUUGAUAUUUCUUAAUAUUUUAUAGGCAGGUUAGUUCUGAGUAAUUUUUCUCUCUUUUCUGUGCCUAACCCAAGAUGCUGCAGGACCUUGUUGGUACAUCAGACUUACUGAGACAAAGGCUUCACACAGAUCAGGCAUCUAAACUAUUUGUUCAGCUCAGAAGUGGUAUUUUGGCUGCAGUAUAUUUUUUCCACUUGUGUGGGAGGAAUUGUGUUUUAUUGUAAGCAUCAACACUAUUGUUAAAAUAAAUUGUUCUUAUCUGUUAGUAUAAUA
Molecule: long non-coding RNA, 49977 nt
Organism: Columba livia (rock pigeon)
Lineage: Eukaryota; Metazoa; Chordata; Aves; Columbiformes; Columbidae
Exons: 3
Source: RefSeq, a predicted model, not a curated record